GAAAAAAAAGUUGUGUUGCUACUUCUCAUUGUUUUAGUUGAAGUUUGUUCUGGUCAUGAUGUCUUCUGUUUUGUACUGAUUUAAUUAAUAACUAAUACAAAGGGAGGAAUGUCGAUCCCUUGCUUCCCACUCCUGAAUUCCAUUUCUUUUAGAUAUUAAAAAUAUCAAAAGAAAAAGUGGAGUUGUGUGUUCUUAUUGUUUCUAUCGAAGUUUGUUCUAGUCCUCAUGUCUUCGGUUUUCUACUGCCUAGAAGGAACAUCCCUACCACGUGCCCCCUCCCCACCCACCCACCCACCCACCCACCCACACACAGAAAGUAAAGUACAUCAAAAGAGAAGAGUUGAGUGGGAAGUUCUGAAGGAUCUGUUCUCCUUGUUUCUUUCGUUUUCUAUACUAGGAUGCAGUAUGUUCGUGCAUUUUCCCAUGCAGUCUUUAUCCUUUUCCCCACCUAGCAUAGUGGCAUGCCCCUCGCAAAUGCUAGGGCAUCGUCUUUUUUUUUAGUGUCUGAGAACUAAAUUUAUGGUUUCAUGCUUAUCCACAUUAUGUGAUAUGUAACAAUACAGUUCUAUAACAAACAACAAUGGUUGUGCUAAAUAAAAUAUCCAAUGUGUAAGUAUCAUCUUUAAUUUGUCGGCAAUUGAUUAUUAUGGCAUUUUUGGAAGGGCCAUAUAUGUCAUUUACAUGAUAUUUGAUCGAUACAUAAAUUUUAAAUCUAGCUUCCAAUGUUAGGCUUUAGUUUUCUGUGAUAUUUGAUUAGUAUGCGCCCUAACAUUUAGAAGUACACAUGUUAACAUUUAAAUUCUAACUAUUAAUGUGCCCACUGCGUCGCAAGGGGAGACAAAAUGUCCACCAAAGUUUUCAUCAGCACAAUACAACGACAAAGUUUUCCUCAGUGCAACACAAUGACAUCUUGAUGGUGCCAGCAGCCUGCAGGUAGGCGCACACCAAGCUCUACAAAAAAUGCGUGCAUAUCACCCAUGCAUUAAUCGUGAAACGAGCCAUAGCACCGCUGAUAAGAAACACUUAGGUCCUAGGUUCCAUGCAGGUCAUCGAGGCUUAUGUUAUACUCUUCCUGUCUGAUAUUUAUGCUGGCGGGCCACUUAGUGCUGUUCGGAUGCUCCAACCAAAAAUAAGAUACAAUCUACUCUCAUCUCGAAAUAAAAAUGAAAAAGAGUAUUAUAUGUAUAUUAAAAAAUGUACAAUAUAUUUCUGUUCACUGACCUAAGCUACCAUCUCUUGUUUCUGAUCUCACACCCCUGAAUUUUUGUUUCUCCCAUGAUUGCUAAAUGAUCCAAUUAAUGGGGAUGUCCAAAGUCCACCUUUAAUUUCUUAAAAAAUGGCUUUAAAUUCUAAGAUCUGCAUCCUCCUUUUUAAAUAUUUUUCGGUACGAAUCCAGUUUUAGUGCUUAUGACCAAUUUAAUUGGUCUCCCAAAUCCCACAAUCAUAAUACGCCCCCACAUGAAUGACCUAUUUAAUCAGGUGUCUCAAAUCCCACAAUCUCUGAAUCCCAUACGUAUGUGCUUAUUUGGCACAUUCUCUUCCUUCGUUAACUUGUGCUUAGUGCUUACCGAAUCGGCUUACUGAAUUUAUGGUACCAAGGUACCAAAAGAUGGAGUUGGCUGGAUGUGGGUGAGGUGGUAUUAUUUAAUAGGAAGACCAAGCGUAUAUAUGUACACUGCCUAUCUAGCUCAGUUGGGCACCUCCCUGAGGCAGCAUUUACUAUUUACAAUUUUUUAGGCCCAACGAAUCUACGACGAACGAAGGAUCCACCCCGAGCGAUGGACAAAUUGGGAGAAUUCAGUGGCCCAGCAUUUCAUUAGCGUAGCACCACAUACGCCAUUUUUUCUUGAUGCUUCCCAUUGGAGGCAGAAGCUAAAUGUGUAUGCGGGUAUCUCCAUUGAUCAUAACCUGUGAUCAGCAGCGGCGAUUUGCCGUGACAGGGAUGCCACAUAUAUGGGUUCUUCGAUUCUGACCAUACAUGGCUUAACAUACCCUACUGUUUCUGGAGGCAAUCGCUUGUAGAGAGGCUCUAAAUCUGGGGAAUGAUCUUGGAUUGAGUCAUCCUUACAUUGCCUCUGAUUGUGAGGAAGUGGCCAAUCACAUGCAUGAAGCUUCAGGAUGUUUCGAAGGAACUAUCGUUAGAGAGAUUAAACAGCAGGAGAAAUCUUUUACUUCAUGUUCUUUUGUUUACGAAUGUAGAGCUUCGAAUUAUGAGGCUCAUAAGUUAGCUAGGCUAGGGGUUAACCUUCCUUCCCAAAGGCAGAUUUGGUUGGAGCAUCCCCAUGAUACCCUUGUAAUUCCUGUAAUGAUUGACAUUGAUGAAUAAAGCCUAGUUACCUUUGCUAAAAAAACAUCAGCCAUUUUUUCUUUUUUUGUUUCCUUUUUCUUUUUUUCCUGUCUUUUUUGCCUUCUCUGUCCUUUUUUCUAGUUUGCCUUGUCUUUUUUAUUUGUCAUUUUUUCCUUUUUUCUAUUUAUUUUUGUUUUUCCAUAUAUUUUUUCAAAACAUGUUUGUGUUUUAAAAAAAUGUUCGUAAAUAUCAAAAAAUGUUCCCUUUUCAAAUUUUGUUCUAAAAUUCAAAAAACGUUCUAGUACAGCUAGCGUCAUGCAUUGGGUCUUGUAACUGUCCUAGUGGUUGCAGUAACUAAUAAAAAUGGAGGGGUGUCGAUCCCUUUCUUCCCUCUCCUGCAAUCUUUUAUUUAAAAAAUUAACAUCAAAAGACAAAAGUUCAGUUGGGAGUGUUCUCAUGGCUUUGUUGAAAUUUGUUCUCCGCGUGCCUUUCCAUUUCUACUGGCUAGAAGGUACAUUCCUACGUGCCUACACACACUCUCUUUUCUUCUUUUCUCCAAAAGAAGAGCAAAGAAUUUUCGCUUCAAAGUUAAGAACAUCAAAAGACAUGAAUUGAGUUGGGAGUACUCAUGGCUUUGUUCCGUCCUGGUUCCUGUGUUAUUUACUAGGGUGUACUACAUUGGUACGUUUUCUAACACACUCGUAUUGCGUUUACCCAAGAUGAGGACUAAGAAUCAAUGCCCUUGGAGUAUAUUUAUGGAAAAGGUUGCUUUAUUUUGCAUAAAACUAAUUACUAAAGCAGAACAGCGUGCAUCUAUGUGCGGCGACCAAUAGCUUUUGUGGUGAUCACAUUUGUUGGCCAUGCGCACUUGUGGUGAGCAACUAACAUGUGGAGUGACGUGCUAACAUGUGGAGUGCCGUGCUAAGAAAGAGCACAGGUAGAAGAUCGUUGUAAUAUAAUGGUGGACUGAUAGUAAGACCGACAGUAGCACAACCACAGAAUAAAUAAUUGAAGAUGGUUUGAGAAAUUCCAUCUACAUUGUGAAAUGUCCUCAUCAAGGGUUGCUGAAAUAUCUGGGUUUUGAGAAAUGGUUUGUUUUAAAAAAAAUGAGCGGCUGACACUUCAAUCAUGGAGAAACAUGUUAACCUACCGAAAAAGGGUUUCCCCCCGCUUCCACCGAUCACACGAUAAAUGCUGGGGCGCACAACACAUCAAGUCCAAAAGAGAAAGAAAGAAGAACAAAAUGCCAACAACGGCAACUUGACAAAGCACAGAUGAUCUGCAACUGCUGCGCCCUCUGGAUUCGUCCCGCUGCACACCAAGGUUCCAAAUCGCCGUGUACCAAGCAGAACCUCGAAGAAGGGAUGCGACGUCGAUGACACUGCUGCCUGGACAUGUUCUAGGGUUUCCCCGGCACGUGGAGAGGAGUGGAGGAUGGGUAACCAUCAGGAAGGAAAGGCGACACCCGCAGGCGACACCGCGUCGGCGCCGGAAGAACCGCCAGGGAUUUCUCCCGCAUCCCAACCACCACUAUCCGCCUGAUCCGAAGCCAACCAGCCAGACAGCCACCCACCAGCAUACGCCACUACGGUCUUGAAGUCAUCUAUGUCGCCUCAUUUAGACCGCCAUCACGAGGCCUAGAGGAUGGAGAGAGGAGCGCCAGAAAUUGGGAGGGGCAUCACUUGAGCCGCGUCGAAGGGAACCACCUCCUCCACCAUCGUGCGGGAGGCCUCUGCCUCCAGCAUUGUCGCAGGUGCCAACCGGACGCGGCCGCAGUGGCACACCAGGCCACCCAGGCCCGGCCGGGCCCAUCUCAGGCCCGCAAAGCCGCUGCCACCCCGCUGCAGCAAGCCGGCGACGGCGCCGCCCCCACCCAGCUUUCCUACACCAUUUUUAGUGAAGCACACAGCCAAGCAAACGAAUUCUUUAAGCUUAACAACUUGGAUUGAUAUUCACCAUUCGGUUGCACCCUUUGCAGCCUUCCUAUUUUGUUCCCUUAUUCUCUUUUAUUUAUUUUUACCUUUUGUACAUACUCUUAUCAGGCAAUAAUAUUUGCAGUACGGGCUUGCCUUAUUGUUUUUGUUUCAAAAAUAGAAUGGAGCUACUACCCCAUAAAUACGACCCUGUGGCUGAGUAAGGGUUAACCUAAUUGAACACAUCGAACUUGGAAGGAAGGAGAGGUGCUGAUGAAGACUUCAGGAGUGGGACAGAUGUAGACGGCUGGUAUGAUUUAGAUGGUUGAGAGGCCGACAAUUAUCGUUUGAAUUUUAAUCCAGAGAGCGCUCUAGGUUGUGCAAGGUAACAAUAGGUUGCAUAGGUGCAUGUCCGGCAUUGCACACAGCAAGAGUAUUUUGUGAUAAUGUUUUUGUAUUAUAGGGGAAAGCAGCUGAAUCAUCUUGUCUUUUUGUUUUACUUGGAGAUAUGUGGCACCGCGAGCUGUUCUACUUUUAGGUUGGGGCGUGCCAUCGUUGAGUCAGUGUUCAUACAUGAAUGCACAUCCAAGUAAAGAUGAAAUUGACAAAGUAAAACAUAAACAUAAACAUCGGCAGUUCAAGGAAUCAUCAUCAAGUACAUGUUAGUUGACACCAAAUGUGCCACGCAGUAGCAUGUAGCAUGUAUUUCACCAUGGAUUAGUUAAUGCAAAUCCACACGAUAGUAAAAGAAUUACCAAGACCAUGCAUGCUAAUAACAAUGCAUAUUCAUUAAGAUAGUUUGUUUUGCAACACCACAAGAAACAGAAAAUGGAACAGCGACAUCCCACAAGCUGAGCACUCGACCCACCACCACCCCACAUGUUAAUAACAAUCAUCUAAUUAACCUGCUAGACACAAUGCAAAGAGAGAGAAAAGAAGAAGCGCAAAGACAUAAUGCACCCAUCGAAGUAGCAGCUAGUACGUGCAUUGACAUGUCAGGCAUUACAGGCUAUAGGAAAGCUAAUAUUCCGAUCGCCGACGUAAUCGACGGCGUCGCACACCACCCUGACGUCGUAAGGCCUCGUGUAGGCAGCCGGCCCGACCCUGUACUUCACCACGGCCAGCACCAGCACGCCGAUCGCCGGAGCCCUGCCGGAGGGGCCUAUGUCUAAGGCCGUGCCGAACAGGGUACCCGACUGGCUCAUGCUCACCGUAGCCCCCGGCGGCUGCCAGUGCCAGGGCGGCGAUGCGGGCCCGGCCCCCAGUUUGUACUCCGUGCCGUUGGACUUGAACUGCAGGUACACGAUGACGCUGCUGUACUUCACCCCGGCGCGGUGGCUGGUGUUGUUGGCGGAGAGGGUGAGGUUCAGCUGCCUCGUCUUGCUUUUACGGUCGAGCUUGCCGGCGACGGCGCCAGUGACGGAGAAGACAAUCCUCGCGGGUCUGAGGACCGCGGAGACGGCGAUGACGACGGCGGUCACGGCAAGGGUUACCAUGAGGGCGGCGAGGAUAUAGCGCUUAGUUCUCCAUCCGCGAGGAUGAACUGGGGCUUUCGCCAUUGCUAGCUAGCUUCUCCACCUUGCGCUAGUGUUGGUUAGCUAUGAGCAUAUUAGGAGUUAUGACUGACAAGCUAGGCAUAGAUCGAUAUAUCAUAUCCCCUCGGCCUCGGAGGGUAAAGCGAUCGAUAUGGAGAAUACAUUUCUUUUUACAUUUUGCUACAACUAUCUUUGCAACAGGCAGAAGCGUGAGCUACAAGUAAUAAUCGCAAAAGUGCUCUAGCAUGUUUUUACAUGCCGAAGGCCCAAAAUUCCUAUGAUCAUAUCUCGAUAUAUGCAACUCUGAGUUGCCUUGUCACUUCAAGGUCUUUGGCCUGUGAAAAUUCUUGAUAUUUGCACACGAUUUCUAUGAUGUUACCGCUGGAUCAAGAUCCUAAUAUUAGCAUUCAUAGUUAGACUUUUGUUCAAACGAGUACGAGUUAGCUAGACGCUCGUCUUUUUCUCAAGAUAUCUUCCAUCUAAAUACUAGUAAUUAAGUACGCUCGAGGUAGCUUCCUCCGAGAGUCUAAGUACAACUUUCACUUUAGCUUUCACACAUGUGGGCACGUUACGGUAUGAAUUGUAGACAAAUCUAUGGAAACGGAAUAUAUAGCUCGACUCACAAGUUUAAUUAGCUGCACCUGCACUGCAUCACUAGCUAGCCAGGUUCGUACACAGGACUAGCCGUAGAGUGUGUUUUUAAAAAUAUAACCAUUUUUUUGUAACCAAUCUGCAAGAAAAGUAACAUGUUUACUUUUAAUUUUUGCACACAUCGUAAAUACUUAUAUUUUUGUGGCCAAUAUUUGCAGGCAUAUGCUUGGUAAUUGACAUCAUGACUUUCUUCAGAUUAUUUGAGCUUUUCUUUUGAGGAAUGGCCAUCAUGGCUAUCUCUAUUGAAUUUAAACAAGCAUUACAUCAUCCACGAGUCUGGAAAUCAGAUACACCUGGGCCGUGGUUCAUCCGUCUAACUAAAAGAAGACUUACUACAACAACCGUAAUUAGCUAUCACAUCCGCCCUUUAAAAAUGACCUUCCUAAUCAACAAAGCCAUAUCCACACAUUCCGCAAUGAUUGCUGCAGUAACAUACUAUAAUCUUGUAUGUCCAGUACAGUUGUCUACAACAAUCAAAUAAUCGGACUCAACUUUCCCACGGGGAAACCUAAGGAGUUUGUGAAUAUCAGUCCAUCACGCAUAGCCAUUUCCUUAGUUUUUUUUUACCAUGAGUCAUUUCCUUAGUAGUGACCACAACAGCAGCAUAUGGGAUAUAUUUGAGCUUAGUAGACACAAUUUUGUCUUUUUAAAAGUCGGGGGGGNNNNNNNNNNNNNNNNNNNNNNNNNNNNNNNNNNNNNNNNNNNNNNNNNNNNNNNNNNNNNNNNNNNNNNNNNNNNNNNNNNNNNNNNNNNNNNNNNNNNNNNNNNNNNNNNNNNNNNNNNNNNNNNNNNNNNNNNNNNNNNNNNNNNNNNNNNNNNNNNNNNNNNNNNNNNNNNNNNNNNNNNNNNNNNNNNNNNNNNNNNNNNNNNNNNNNNNNNNNNNNNNNNNNNNNNNNNNNNNNNNNNNNNNNNNNNNNNNNNNNNNNNNNNNNNNNNNNNNNNNNNNNNNNNNNNNNNNNNUGAGACUGGAUAUAGUAGGGUGUUUAGGUCAACCAAAGUAAAGUGGCCGAGGAAAAAAUUAGCCAAAGCAAAGUAGUACUAGUUUACAUGGAUAAACGGAGUGUCGAAUCUUAGGCAAUCCUUUUCCUUUUCUGGAGAUAGCUUGCACCUUGAGGUUGCUUCCAUCCGACUCUAAAUAACUGGCUAGUGCAAGUUUCACUUUAACAUGUGUAUACUAUGUAGCAAGGCACCUGCUAUCAUAUCAAUAUAUAUGCAUCCAUCCAUCCAUGGAAUAGCUAGCAAGUCCGGCCGAUUAAGCAAUAGCCACUCUAUGCACGACUACAAGAAUACAUCCAAUCUCCAAUUCAUGGGUGAUAGUAACGGCGACAGCAACGACGACGGCGAGGACACAAGAGUCCGGUGGUUGAUCGAUGUGGCCCGGUACACGGCGGCAGCCCUGGUGACCGCGGUCACCGUGGCGGUCAUUGCCAGGGCUGUCACCGUGUCCCUCCGCUCUGAGCCGAUCACCAUCGAAGUCGCCAAUUCGUCCGUCUCCGUGUCCGUGAAGGGCUUGCCGCCGGCACCGGUUACAGUGAGCAUCUCUCUGAACCUGCUGUCGUACAACCCAAGCGGCCGCGUCGGCGUCCAGUAUAGCAACGUCAACAUGAGCCUCCUCGACAGGAGCGGCAAGGCGAUCACCUGGUUGAGCGUUCCGAAUGGCACCAUCCACGGCAUCGUGGUGGGGCCGACAACGGCGCGGCAGACGCUGGUGAGGGGGGACCUCGUGGUGCCGGAUGAGGUACCCAGCGAGUUCGCCGAGAGGAUGCGUCCUCGCAGCAGGAAUGGGACGACGUCUGCAGGCCAGGAGAUCAAAGAGGCUGCCGUGCACCUUCGUGGCAUCCUCCAGACCCAGAUCUCCGGGUUCACCUACAGUCACGGCGGCGUCACCGCGUUCCGCUGCUUUCCGGUCACCAUCGGCGUCCCGCCGCUCCACCUGUCUGCAGGCGACGCGCCUUGCGAUAAGGUGCCGCCCUAGCUAGCUGUGCCUCUGCACGUGUUGUGCAGUUGUGGUGAUGAGUAAAUUAGACGCCUCGUCAUUUGAAUGAAAGUAAGCUGUGAGAUCGAAGUCAAGUGUGGUUUUGAAUUAUUAUCAACCCGCCCGUCGCCACGGGCGACGAAACAUGAAGAGAAACGCAUUAAGUCAUCUGAGUAAUAUUGCAGUUCACAACAAGUGUUUAACUUAUUUGAGAAUUACUAGCAAAUAUGCCCGUGCGUUACAACAGGUCAUAAAAAUUCUAGUAGUUCAACAACAAUUCUCUCUCCCCUCUCCCUUGCCGCCACCAGAGGGUGCGGCCAGGCAAAGCUCGGCCCACGCCAGUGCUGGCAAGGUUCAUUUCUCUUCACUCGGCAGUCGGCGACAUGGGACGUGGCAGGGCGGCGUCCUUCUGCCGGUGGUGGGCGUUUGUCGGAUCGGUCGGCCAGAUUUCCUUGGCUGCUUGGGCAGAAGGUCUCAGUGGACGACGGUCGUGGCGUCAGGUGGUUCCCGGUGCCCCUUUCGUCAGAUCUGAGGCGGACUAUCAUAGCAUGCGGUUCUCUUCAUCGGCUGCUCUAGAUCUCCGGCGUCCGUGCUCGGAGGUGUUGGUGGCUGGCCUGGUUGGUGACGGGAUGGAAGCUUGUCCAGGGAAACCUUCUGGCCGACAGCGGCGGUAGUAGUAUCUAUACUACUAUAUAGUGUACCAGUUUUGAAAUUUUAAAUCUCAUGACCAAGAAGCAACCUGAACCAUUGAUAGAGUCCAUCCAAUGAUUGGAAGUGCUCGGACUCACUGCUACAGUUCUAGCUAUAGUACCAGCGAAGCUACUGUUGUUCUCCGAAACCAUCGACAGAUAAUCAGUACCAGCCAAGCUAAUGUUGUUCUCUAGAACCAUCCACAGAUGUCAAUGCUGGAAAAAUCCACAUGCUUGCUGCUGUUGUCGUCCAUCCAUGCAUGUAGCUGGCUGUCUCAGCCGCCUUGGCAGCCGGUCCAUAAGCAUCGGUAGCGCGCGUACUAAUCGCGUCAUCGCAGAGGGAUUUGGGACGGAGUUUUGAUCUGGUUGUUGUGCAAUGCACCAAUCGGACGAGGGAAGUCGAUGUGUACAUUUGUACGUACAUGUAUACUAGUAUAUAUAGUACAUAAGCUAGCCUAAUCUGGUACUAAUCCAAUACGAUGAUUGCACCGUAUAGGAGCAGCACACGGCACCAGCGUUAGGAUUAAUGGGCUGUCUUUUGUGUGUGGGUGUAGCCCGCCCAUGGGGCUAGACAGGCCCAGCUGAGGAUGUGCCAUAAACGGAUCAAGCGAAGAAGCCAGCCACUGUCGACGUACGAUAUUUUUUUGAACAAUCGUGCAACAUAAGAUUAGUAUCACCUCGUUUAUAUUAUGAUUUUGUCUAUACAAAUCGUAAAAGUGUAUUAUAACAUGAGAAGAAAGCGUAUUGUGACGGUGAACCCGACAAAGUCAAUCUGUACUUUAUUAUUAGGGAGAGAUAGGGAGAGAUUAGUAGUCUAGACUCUAGAAGUCGUUUUAUGAGGUGAAGCACCAUUUGACUCAUUAGAGCGUCGAACUGAGCUUAGCUUUGAUGAUCAGAUUUCUUGUGGUGGAACCAACCCAUCAUAGUUUAAGCAAUAAAGUUGGCAUUGGUGCGCGCACUUUUCUAGAUUUGUGUCAGACUUUUCGACAAUGUUUGUUCUGUGAAAGGAGACUUUCCCAUCGACUAUGGCGCUUAUGGUGACUUCAUGAAUCUCAUGACGUGUUUACGUGCGUGUUUUAUAGAGAUGAAUGUGUGCGUGUAUAGGAGCAUCUACAAUUGUACCAUGUUAACAAAUGACUUCUUAGAGCGUGCUAGGACAUUCUCUACCAUAGAGCAUCUCUAGCAUAUCCCUUAUAAAGUUAUAUUUAAGGAAGAAAAAUAGUUGUUCGCCUAAAGCCCAAAUAUUGUCAAAUGUGACUUUCAAUGAUGGGCUUUCUUAAAUUGCCCUAGGUUUUCAUGAGCAAGCAAGUUGGAUGCACAUCCACUUAAUUUUCUUUUGAUCUUUCAUUCACUUAUAGCUCUAGUGCAUUUAUUGCAUGACAAUCCAUACUCCUUAUAUUGACAUCAAUUGAUGGGUAUCUCCAUAGCUCAUUGAUUAGCCUCGUCAAUGUGACACUUUUUUUUGUCUUCUCCACACAACCCCCACCAUCAUAUUCUAUUCCACCUAUAAUGCUAUAUCCAUAGCUCGCACUCAUGUAUUGCGUAGACAAUGGGUGCAUAUGCACCUAGGAGCCAUUGCCAAUUUCCGUAGAAAAUAUUGGUACAUUGCAUAGCACUUUUUUAUAAAUAACUCUGGGUCUGACCUGGUACCUUAGAACCAGAACAUGAAGGAAAACAGACGAAUCAACACAAAAAUACAUCAUUAUUUCGCAGGCCUAUACUCAAAUGUGAAGGACAGGGGUAAUAAGUGAUAACAUAUAACCGGAAAUGUCAUAUUUCAUAUAUCAACGUAUACAGUAGAACCUGUGAUAAACCCACAUUUCCUGGGUCAACAUAUCUUUAUUGACCAUGCUGGAGCAAUGAGACACAAAUAUACAUUAUGUCGCAGGUCUAUACUCAAAUUUGAAGGACAAAGGUAAUAAGUGACAGCAUUAUUUCUUGUUUAGCUUCAUCGCAACCAGCUACAUCCAUAAAAAAAAACACCUGCACCAACCGAAGAGCAGGAAUUGUCAGGGAGAUACAGUCAAUAUCAUGUAAACCAAAAGCGAAUUCUACUGCAAGUCUGAAAAAUGAGGACUCUGCGAGCUCCCGAAUUACUUUUCAAUAGACCUAAAUUUUUUUAUUGCCUCUUUUUUGGAGUAUAGUACCAAAAGGAAUGGUAAAGAGAAUGAUAUGGAACAAAAAAGAACUAACCUUAUUUUUGGAAUUUCUGUCCAUCUUUGUUAUUGUUGCUUUUCCAAUGUAGAAGACGCCACAUCUACCCUUCCCAGAACAUUUCUGUCCAUUUUGGAAUGUCCAACAAGGAACGUUGUUGGGUCAAAUCUCAUCACUUGGAACCAAUUUACUCCCGCAACAUAAGUUAGUGGAACAUAAUCAUGUGAAUCUAUACCCAAAUUUUACCGGGCUUCCACUUUUCUUCAUGACUCAACAUACUUCCAAUAUUUAAGAAAUGCCUGUAUUGGCUGGGAUCCUGUUUGCCUGGAACAUCAACGGUCAUAAUUUGUGUAUAACAUUUUGGCUUUGGUCAUUCGUCUGUGGCGAAGUCCUGAUGUAGACCUUCGACACUAAUUUAUUUUAAACACCUAUACGGUCAACCAGGCCAGGUUCCAGUAACUUGUUCUUGAAUUCUUGGAAGCUUAUCAGCAGAAAGUACAAGCACAAGAUCUUUUCAUAACCGUUAAACUAAAGACUAUGCAACAUCCAUACGUUUGAAGUGAUAAAAUAUGCAAACCAAAAAACAAUGCCAAAAUUACAAUUAACAGAAAACAAAACUAAUAGUUCUGAAGCUGGCAUUUUGAUUCAAAGGUAAGAAUAGGAAACUACAAUCAAGGUGCACGUUGACAAUUUGCCACAUCAGGUAAACAUCUGUACAAGCAAAAAUUAAUUAGUGAAAACAACUUCUCAAUGGGCUAUAGAAUCAAACAUCAUAUGUUUUACAAAUAGCAUAUGAUCCCUAUGGACAUCUUUUCUGCAAAUAUGUCUCCUCACAUAUUGCAUAUUGAUCACAGUUUGCUAUCUGUUAUCUGGUGUAGGCACAUAUUACUUAAACAUCUAAAGAGAACAGGUGGGUAUUUUCUCUGCCAUUUGCCAAACCCAUCAUGGCAAGAAAUACAGUCCAAGUGUUAGCUUCUGAUUGUCACAAUUAUUAAAUAAUGGUUAACUAAUCUCCAAAUGUUGAUUGAAGGUGACAGGGUACGUACAACUUGUGUAGUCCUUAUGGUAGAGAAAAAGUUUUCUAUUUCCCUUGGGUUCUCAACAAACAACAAGGAUUCAGGGAUUCAACGAAUAAAGAAAAUAUAUCUGAUAACAUACCAACAACUUGCAGAAAACAUAUUAGUGAAAGUACUUAAAAACUCGAUGGACAAUUUGCCAUAGAGGGGACGAAAUCACCUCCUUCUGGUGUGAUGCGAUCGAAGACAAGGGGGAAAACAUCAGGCCUAAAAGCAAUGGAGGUCUGAGGAAGUUCUAGAACUGCUUGAAAGUACCAUCCUGGAAAUUCCAUUGACCAUCUAUAUCGGAUUCGUCUGCAUAUCCCAAAAUUGCAAUUUCAUCAGACUUGAAGUUGGCAGUACUUAGAACUGACAAGUUAAACUACCAUCAAACAUUUGUGAGUUUGUGACCCAACCAUUAUCCAGUUAUAUGCUAUUAUUCCAUUGUUACAUCAACUGACCGACACUCACACGGGAAGGAAAUCAUCAUGCACAUAGUUGCCCAUCUUGGUGGCAAGACACAUUCACUAAGCCCACUUCAUAGCACCAAAGAGAUCCAAACAUAUCCAGGCUUGUGCAUCCAAUUUUUUUAACCGGAUCCAAGCAGAAAACACGGCCAGAAAAAUAAUGGAUCCACACAUAGAUAUGAAGGCAAGGAACAACUCACCAUCUAGAAACCUUGCAACCUAUAUGCAGCAGCAUGUGGCAAGCCGACCGACGCCUCGGCGAACAGAACAAACGACAGACACAACGGGCCUGCAAUGAAAUCCAGUGUGAGACCCCUAACCAAAUCCAAGGCAACCAAGAAAAUCAACCAUGGCAACUGAACAAGCACCUGAACCAGGAGGUGCAUGCCCCUCUCCCCCUUGAUGAGCGCAAACGGCCACUGCCCCCGCGCGGUGGAGUCUGUGGCGGAUGGAUUAGGGUGGAGAUUGAAGGAAAUAUGCCCUAGAGGCAAUAAUAAAGUUGUUAUUUAUAUUUCCUUAUAUCAUGAUAAAUUUUUAUUAUUCAUGCUAGAAUUGCAUUGACCGGAAACUUAGUACAUGUGUGAAUACAAAGACAAAACAAAAUGUCCCUAGUAUGCCUUGAUACGUCUCCAACGUAUCUAUAAUUUUUGAUUGUUCCAUGCUAUUAUAUUAUCUGUUUUAGAUGUUAAUGGGCUUUAUUUUACACUUUUAUAUUAUUUUUGGGACUAACCUAUUAACCUAAGGCCCAGUGCAAAUUGCUGUUUUUUUUUGCCUAUACCAGUGUUUCGCAGAAAGGAAUAUCAAACGGAGUCCAAACAGAAUGAAACCUUCGGGAGCGUGAUUUUUGGAACAAACGUGAUCCAGAGGACUUGGAGUGGACGUCAAGCAACCAACGAGGUGGCCACGAGGCAGGCGGCAUGCCUACCCCCCUGGGCGCACCCUCCCCCCUCGUGAGCCCCUCGUGGAUCCACCGACCUACUUCUUCCUCCUAUAUAUACCUAUGUACCCCAAAAACAUCUAGGAGCACCACGAAACCCUAUUUCCACUGCCGCAACCUUAUGUACCCAAGAGAUCCCAUCUUGGGGCCUUUUUCGGAGCUCCGCCGGAGCGGGCAUUGAUCACGGAGGGCCUCUACAUCAACUCCAUGGCCCCUCCGAUGAUGUGUGAGUAGUUUACCUCAGACCUUCGGGUCCAUAGUUAUUAGCUAGAUGGCUUCUUCUCUCUCUUUGGAUCUCAAUACAAAAUUCUCCUCGAUUCUCUUGGAGAUCUAUUCAAUGUAAUCUUCUUUUGCGGUGUGUUUUCCGAGAUCUGAUGAAUUAUGGGUUUAUGAUCAAGAUUAUCUAUGAACAAUAUUUGAAUCUUCUCUGAAUUCUUUUAUGUAUGAUUGGUUAUCUUUGCAAGUCUCUUCGAAUUAUCAGUUUGGUUUGGCCUACUAGAUUGAUCUUUCUUACAAUGGGAAAAGUGCUUAGCUUUGUGUUCAAUCUUGCGGUGCUCGAUCCUUGCUUUGGGCUUCAUUCCGUUUGGACUCCGUUUGAUAUUCUUUUUCUACGAAACCCUAUAAUAGGCAAAAAAUAGCAAUUCUGGGUUGGGCCUUCAGUUAUAGGUUUGUCCCAAAAAUAAUAUAAAAGUGUAUAGUAAAGCCCAAUAAUGUCCAAAACAGAAUAUAAUAUAGCAUGGAACAAUCAAAAAUUAUAGAUACGUUGGAGACGUAUCAAGCAUCCCCAAGCUUAAUUCCUGCUCAUCCUCGAGUAAGUAAAUGAUAAAAACAUAAUUUUUGAUGUGGAAUGCUACUUGGCAUAAUUUCAAUAUAAUUCUCUUAAUUGUGGCAUGAAUAUUCAGAUCCGAAAGAUUAAAGACAAAAGUUUAAUAUUGACAUAGAAAUAAUAAUACUUCAAGCAUACUAACUAAGCAAUUAUGUCUUGAUACGUCUCCAACGUAUCUAUAAUUUUUGAUUGCUCCAUGCUAUAUUAUCUACUGUUUUGGACUAUAUUGGGCUUUAUUUUCCACUUUUAUAUUAUUUUUGGGACUAACCUAUUAACCGGAGGCCCAGCCUAGAAUUGUUGUUUUUGCCUAUUUCAGUGUUUCAGAGAAACAUAAUAUCAAACGGAGUCCAAUAUUUCUAUCAAUCUAUCCCCCUAGGGGCAUGCGCGUAAUACUUUGCUUUUUUAACUUGUAGAUUUUUGGAAUAAGUAUAUGAGUUCUUUAUGACUAAUGUUGAGUCCAUGGAUUAUACGCACUUUUCUUCCUUCCACCAUUGCUAGCCUCUCUAAUACCGCGCACCUUUCGCCAGUAUCAUACACCCACCAUAUACCUUCCUCAAAACAGCCACCAUACCUACCUAUUAUGGCAUUUCCAUAGCCAUUCCGAGAUAUAUUGCCAUGCAACUUUCCACCGUUCCGUUUAUUAUGACACACUCCAUCAUUGUCAUAUUGCUUAGCAUGAUCAUGUAGUUGACAUCGUAUUUGUGGCAAAGACACCAUUCAUAAUUCUUUCAUACAUGUCACUCUUGAUUCAUUGCAUAUCCAGGUACACCGCCGGAGGCAUUCAUAUAGAGUCAUAUUUUGUUCUAAGUAUCGAGUUGUAAUUGUUGAGUUGUAAGAAAAUAAAAGUGUGAUGAUCAUCAUUAUUAGAGCAUUGUCCCAGUGAGGAAAGGAUGAUGGAGACUAUGAUUCCCCCACAAGUCGGGAUGAGACUCCGGACGAAAAAAAGAGAGAAAAGUGGCCAUAAAAAGGGAGAAAAGGCCCAAAUAAAAAAAUGAGAGAAAAAGAGAGAAGGGACAAUGUUACUAUCCUUUACCACACUUGUGCUUCAAAGUAGAACCAUGAUAUUCAUUAUAGAGAGUCUCUCAUUUCGUCACUAUCAUAUACUAGUGGGAUUUUUUCAUUAUAGAACUUGGCUUGUAUAUUCCAAUGAUGGGCUUCCUCAAAAUGCCCUAGGUCUUCAUGAGCAAGCAAGUUGGAUGCACACCCACUUAGUUUCUUUUUGAGCUUUCGUAUACUUAUAGCUCUAGUGCAUCCGUUGCAUGGCAAUCCGUACUCACUCACAUUUUUUUUGAAAACUUAGGACAGUGAAGGCAGCCCCCCACUGACUUUAUAUUACUUCAACCAACACAACUUACAAUCUACAUCCACUCUGUGGUUACAUGAUGGUUAUAAGAUUUCCACUAGAGGGAGAAGUGUGCUAAGGGUACAGACAGAAGGAAAGCAAACUUUUACAAGUUAGAUGGAAGCAACAAAACUAUCUACAAACAGCACCAAGGCCCCUUUGACUCUAUGUCUCAUCAUACCAAAGUCGUUUUUGAAUCUUAGGAGCCAACCAUCAACCGUAGGCAACACACCUCGAAAGUGUUUGUUAUUACGCUCCUUCCACAUGCUCCAAGCCGCUAUAACAAAGACUUCCAUAAACAUGGGCCCUGACCAUCUGUCCUUUGCCUCAUGCACAUACUGAAGCCUGUUCCUACCAUGCGCCCAUUCGAUUCCCAGCUUUCUCCAGCAAAUCUUACUGAAGGCACAUUCGAAGAAAAGAUGCUCCACCGUCUCUUCAGGUGGGUUGUCACAGAAGAGGCAAGUAUAUAGGUCAUCCCGCAGCCUCAUCCCUCUCCUUUUCAACAUGUUCCUGGUGUUUAACCUGUCCGCUAGGAGCAGCCAUGCAAAAACCCUCCACUUAUUAGUGCAUUUUGACUUCCAGAUCCAUUUGAACGCAUCAUCGGCCACCACCUCCCGGAAGCAAUGCUCAUAGUACUUUUUGGAGGCAAACUCUCCUGAUCCCCAAACACAUCUCCAAACGUCAGCAGCCUCAGACAAUUCCGUUGAGGCCAGGCCUCCUUGAAGGUCCCGCAGCUCGUCGCUGGCCUGCGGGGAGAGUGGUAGUUGGAAGUUUUGUCCGAGAGUCGGCGCAGCUAGCAAGGCUUGGACCGAGACAUCUUCGUGCACUGCGAAAGAGAAAAGCCUGGGGUGGCUAUCACAGAUUAUCCUGUCAUGCCACAAGUCUUCCCAAAAGAGAACCGUGCUCCCGUCUCCCACCUCCACCGUAGUGACCCCUCUGUAAGCUGGAGCGAGUUGGAGAAUGUCACGCCACCAGAACGAUCCGCGAGGUUCAAUUGCGUGUGGUACCACCCCCUCGUAGUACGUAGACCAAACCAGGUUAACCCACGACACGUCUCGGCGGUUGUAAAAUUUGUGCAACUACUUAAGCAGCAGGGCUUGAUUCUGAGUCUGAAGGUCGAUAACCCCCAGCCCACCUUUCUCUUUGGGGCGGCAGACCAGUCCCCACGCUGCCAAGGACAAUGCUUUGUGGCCAUCUUCUGUGUUCUUGGCCCAGAGACAAUAGCGCCUAAGCUUAUCAAGAUGUUCCACGAUCUUCGGAGGCAGCUUGAUGGAGCACAUAGCAUAGAUCGCCAGGGAUGUGAUCACGGAAUUGACCAGCGUUAGUUUUGACCCCAGGUCCAGAAGCGAGGCGGCAGUGGAUAGUCUGCGUUCGACUGAUGUAACCAGUGGCAUUAGGUCAGCCACCGUCGGCCUGGCCGUACCCAUCAGCAUGCCAAGGUAUGUGAACGGCAUCUCACCAACUUUGCAGCCAAAAACCUCUGCCAACCUAUUUGUUACAUCAUCCGCCGUAUUAACAGUCAUCAGCGUCGAUUUCUGAAAGUUGAUACGCAGCCCUAUGGAGGAGGCAUAGUCUUGCAGGAUGGUCUUGAUCGUCCCCGCUUGCAUUUGAUCAGUUGGCAUCACCAGAAUAGUGUCGUCCGCAUACUAGAUCACUGGAUAAUCAUCCUCCACGGUCGGCAGCGGCAACCGAAUCUGCCCGCUACGAAAAGCGUCAUUGAUGGCCGCUUGGAGGAGAUCAGCCGCCAAGACAAAGAUGAGCGGGGACAGUGGGUCACCUUGACGCACACCUCUCUUGCAGAAGAACUGCCUACCAGGAGUCCCGUUAAGCAGUAUGGAGGAUUUGGCGGUGGAGAAUAAGCAGCGGAUCCACCCAAGCCAACGGGCGUCAAAACCCAUGCAUUCCAUAAUCUGUAUCAUUGGAGCAUGUUCAAUCGUGUCGAAGGCUUUCGCGAAGUCAAGCUUGAGGAUGGCAAUCUUGUGAUUUGAGUUUUGGCACUGGUGUAUGAAUUCAUAAGCCCACGCCACACAAUCUUGGAUGGACCUACCCCUCAGGAAUCCGUACUAGUUACGGUGGAUAACCUUAAGAACCACUUUUUGUAGCCGAUUGGCCAAGAGUUUUGUCAGCAGCUUUAGACAACAGUUUAAAAGUGUUAUAGGGCGGUAAUCAUCCGCUGUCUCCGGUGAUUGCGUCUUUGGGAUGAGGGUAAUGAAUCCAGAGUUCAAACUUUCCAGGUCUAGCGUACCUGCAUGAAAAUUGAAGCAUAAUCUAUAGAACUCCUCCUUAAUGAUAUGCCAGCAUGCCUUAAUGAAGCUGCCACUAAAACCAUCCGGUCCAGGGGCACGAUCCGACGGCAUCUCCUUGACCACUUGAUCAAUUUCCUCCCUAGUAAAGGGCUCAGAUAAAACCUGCAGUCCAUCCACCUUCUUGAUGAUGCAAUUCAGAUCAAACUUCAUGUUGGUAGGACUAGAGCGCCCCAGCCUUUCCUUGUAAGUUUGGAGAAGAACAGCCUCUUUGCCCACAUGAUCAUAAACAACAGUGUCAUCCGACAGGCGCAGUGAGGCAAUGUUGUUUCGGUGGAAGCGCUCGGUCGCAACUCUAUGGAAGAAUUUGGUGUUGCCAUCUCCAAACUUGAAGUGUCUGAUGGUACAUCGCUUCUUCCAAUAUGCUUUUUUGCAUUCCAGUAAAUGCAAUAGAUGAGCUUUGAGGAUGUUUCUAAAGUUUGCUUCAGGGACAGACAGGCGCCGCCGAUCCUCAAGGCCAUCAAUCUCCAAGAGGAUAUUGUUGCAGUUCUCUAUCAGCACAGACAGCUUUGAGAUUUUCUUGUUCCACUGCUUUAGAUCAUACCGCAGUGUUUUGAGUUUUUUGCACAAAACCAUAGCUGAGUUUGGGGCGUAGCACUUUUUAUUCCAUGAUCGCUGAACCACAUCAAAGAAGCCUGGCUGCUUGAUCCAAUAGUCCUCGAACCGGAAUAGUUUGGUUUUAGGGAUUUUGGAUUGUAUGCUAACAUAACACGGCACAUGAUUCGGAAUAGUUUGGUUUUACUCACUCACAUUGAUAUCUAUUGAUGGGCAUCUCCAUAGCCCGUUGAUACGCCUAGUUGAUGUGAGACUAUCUUCUCCCUUUUUGUCUUCUCCACAACCAUCAUUCUAUUCCACAUAUAGUGCUAUAUCCAUGGCUCACGCUCAUGUAUUGCGUGAAGAUUGAAAAGGUUUGAGAAUGUCAAAAGUAUGAAACAAUUGCUUGGCUUGUCAUCGGGGUUGUGCAUGAUUUAAAUACUUUGUGUGGUGAAGAUAGAGCAUGGCCAGACUAUAUGAUUUUGUAGGGAUAACUUUCUUUGGCCAUGUUAUUUUGAGAAGACAUGAUUGCUUAUUAGUAUGCUUGAAGUAUUAUUGUUUUUAUGUCAAUAUUAAACUUUUAUCUUGAAUCUUUUGGAUCUGAAUAUUCAUGCCACAAUUAAGAAGAAUUACAUUGGAAUUAUGUCAAGUAGCAUUCCACAUCAAAAAUUCUGUUUUUAUCAUUUACCUACUCGAGGACGAGCAGGAAUUAAGCUUGGGGAUGCUUGAUAUGUCUCCAACAUAUCUAUAAUUUUUUAUUGCUCCGUGCUAUAUUAUCUACUAUUUUGGACAUUAUUGGGCUUUAUUAUCCACUUUUAUAUUGUUUUUGGGACUAACCUAUUAACCGGAGGCCCAACCUAGAUUGUUGUUUUUUGCCUAUUUUAGGGUUUCGAAGAAAAGGAAUAUCAAACGGAGUCCAAACGGAAUGAAACCUUCGGGGACAUGAUUUUCUCACCGAACAUGAUCCAGGAGACUUGGACCCUACGUCAAGCAACUAACAGGGAGGCCACGAGGUAGGGGGCGCGCCUACCCUCCCCCCCAGGCGCGCCCUCCACCCUCGUGGGCCCCCUGUUGCUCCACCGACGUACUCCUUCCACCUAUAUAUACCUAUGUACCCCCAAACGAUCAGAUACGGAGCCAAAAACCUAAUUCCACCACCGCAACCUUCUGUAUCCAUGAGAUCCCAUCUUGGGGCCUGUUCCGGAGCUCCGUCGGAGGGGGCAUCCAUCACGGAGGGCUUCUACAUCAACACCAUGGCCUCUUCGAUGAAGUGUGAGUAGUUUACCUCAGACCUUCGGGUCCAUAGUUAUUAGCUAGAUGACUUCUUCUCUCUUUUUGGAUCUCAAUACAAUGUUCUCCCCCUCUCUUGUGGAGAUCUAUUCGAUGUAAUCUUCUUUUUGCGGUGCGUUUGUUGAGACCGAUGAAUUGUGGGUUUAUGAUCAAGAUUAUCUAUGAACAAUAUUUGAAUCUUCUCUGAAUUCUUUUAUGUAUGAUUGGUUAUCUUUGCAAGUCUUUUCAAAUUAUCAGUUUGGUUUGGCCUACUAGAUUGAUCUUUCUUGCAAUGGGAGAAGUGCUUAGCUUUGGGUUCAAUCUUGCGGUGUCCUUUCCCAGUGACAGUAGGGGCCAAGGCACGUAUUGUAUUGUUGCCAUCGAGGAUAACAAGAUGGGUUUUUUAUCAUAUUGCAUGAAUUUAUCCCUCUACAUCAUGUCAUCUUGCUUAAGGCGUUACUCUCUUUUCAUGAACUUAAUACUCUAGAUGCAUGCUGGAUAGCGGUCGAUGAGUGGAGUAAUAGUAGUAGAUGCAGGCAGGAGUCGGUCUACUUGUCUCGGACGUGAUUCCUAUGUACAUGAUCGUUCCUAGAUAUUCUCAUAACUAUGCUCAAUUUUUGUCAAUUGCUCAACAGUAAUUCGUUCACCCACCGUAAAAUACUUAUGCUCUUGAGAGAAGCCACUAGUGAAAUCUAUGGCCCCCGGGUCUAUCUUCAUCAUAUUAAUCUUCCUUUGCUUUUUUACUUUGGUUUUAUUUUACUUUGCAUCUUUAUCAUAAAAAUACCAAAAAUAUUAUCUAUCAUAUCUAUCAGAUCUCACUCUCGUAAGUAACCGUGAAGGGAUUGCCAACCCUUAUCGCGUUGGUUGCGAGGAGUUAUUUGUUUUGUGCAGGUACAAGGGACUCGCGCGGAGCCUCCUACUGGAUUGAUACCUUGGUUCUCAAAAACUGUGGGAAAUACUUAUGCUACUUUGCUGCAUCGUCCUUUCCUCUUCAAGGAAAUCCAACGCAGUACUUUGUGUGGUGAAGAUAGAGCAUAGCCAGACUAUAUGAUUUUGUAGGGAUAACUUUCUUUGGCCAUGUUAUUUUGAGAAGACAUGAUUGCUUUAUUAGUAUGCUUGAAGUAUUAUUGUUUUAAUGUCAAUAUUGAACUUUUAUCUUGAAUCUUUCGGAUCUGAAUAUUCAUGCCACAAUUAAGAAGAAUUACAUUGAAAUUAUGCCAAGUAGCAUUCCACAUCAAAAAUUAUGUUUUUAUCAUUUACCUACUCGAGGACGAGCAGGAAUUAAGCUUGGGGAUGCUUGAUACGUCUCCAACAUAUCUAUAAUUCUUGAUUGCUCCAUGCUAUAUUAUCUACUGUUUUGGACAUUAUUGGGCUUUAUUAUCCACUUUUAUAUUAUUUUUGGGACUAACCUAUUAACCGGAGGCCCAGCCCAGAUUGCUGUUUUUUUUGCCUAUUUUAGGGUUUCGAAGAAAAGGAAUAUCAAAUGGAGUCCAAAAGGAAUGAAACCUUCGGGAACAUGAUCUUCUCACUGAAAAUGAUCCAGGAGACUUGGACCCUACGUCAAGCAACUAACAUGGAGGUGAAGGAAAUACUUGUGUGAAUACAUAGACAAACUAAACUAGAGGCAAUAAUAAUGUUAUUAUUUUAUUUCCUUAUAUCAUGAUAAAUGUUUAUUAUUCAUGCUAGAAUUGUAUUAUCUGGAAACAUAAUACUUGUGUGAAUACAUAGACAAACUAAACAUCACUAGUAUGCCUCUACUUGACUAGCUCAUUAAUCAAAGAUGGUUAAGUUUCCUAACCAUAGACAUGUGUUGUCAUUUGAUUAACGGGAUCACAUUAUUAGGAGAAUGAUGUGAUUGACAUGACCCAUUCCAUUAGCUUAGCACCCGAUCGUUUAGUAUGUUGCUAUUGCUUUCUUCAUGACUUAUACAUGUUCCUAUGACUAUGAGAUUAUGCAACUCCCGUUUGCCGGAGGAACACUUUGUGUGCUACCAAACGUCACAACGUAACUGGGUGAUUAUAAAGGUGCUGUAUAGGUGUCUCCAAAGGUACAUGUUGGGUUGGCAUAUUUCGAGAUUAGGAUUUGUCACUCCAAUUGUCGAAGAGGUAUCACUGGGCCCUCUCGGUAAUGCACAUCACCUAAGCCUUGCAAGCAAUGCAACUAAUGAGUUAGUUGCAAGAUGAUGUAUUACGGAACGAGUAAAGACACUUGCCGGCAACGAGAUUGAACUAGGUAUUGAUAUACCGACGAUCGAAUCUCGGGCACGUAACAUACCGAUGACAAAGGGAACAACGUAUGUUGUUAUGCGGUCUGACCGAUAAAAGAUCUUCGUAGAAUAUGUGGGAGCCAAUAUGAGCAUCCAGGUUCCGCUAUUGGUUAUUGACCGUAGACGUGUCUCGGUCAUGUCUACAUUGUUCUCGAACCCGUAGGGUCCGCACGCUUAAGGUUUCGAUGACAGUUAUAUUAUGAGUUUAUUAGUUUUGAUGUAUCGAAGUUAGUUCGGAGUCCCGGAUAUGAUCACGAACAUGACGAGGAGUCUCAAAAUGGUCGAGACAUAAAGAUUGAUAUAUUGGACGACUAUAUUCGGACACCGGAAGUGUUCCGGGGAAGUUUCGAAUAAAACCGGAGUACCGGGGGUUACCGGAACCCCCCCGGGAGUUAAUGGGCCUCAUGGGCCUAAAGUGGAGAAGAGGAGGGGCGGCCAAGGCAGGCCGCGCGCCCCCUCUCCCUCUAGUCCGAAUUGGACAAGGAGGGAGGGGCGGCGCCCCCCUUUCCUUCCUCUCCUCUCUCCCUUCCUCCCCCCUCUCCUACUUGGACAAGGAAAAGGAGGGAGUCCUACUCCCGGUAGUUGUAGGACUCCUCCCUGGCGCGCCUCCUCCUGGCCGGCCGCCCCUCCCCCUUGCUCCUUUAUAUAGGGGGCAGGGGGGCACCUCUAGAGACAACAAUUGAUCCUUGAGAUCUCUUAGCCGUGAGCGGUGCCCCCCUCCAAUAUAAUCCUCGAUAAUAUUGUAGCGGUGCUUAGGCGAAGCCCUGCGACGGUAGAACAUCAAGAUCGUCACCACGCCGUCAUGCUGACAGAACUCUUCCCCGACACUUUGCUGGAUCGGAGUCCGGGGAUCGUCAUCGAGCUGAACGUGUGCUAGAACUCGGAGGUGCCGUAGUUUCGGUGCUUGAUCGGUCGGGCCGUGAAGACGUACGACUACAUCAACCGCGUUGUUAUAACGCUUCCGCCUUCGGUCUACGAGGGUACGUGGACAACACUCUCCCCCCUCGUUGCUAUGCAUCACCAUGAUCUUGCGUGUGCGUAGGAAUUUUUUUGAAAUUACUACGUUCCCCAACAGUGGCAUCCGAGCCUAGGUUUUAUGUGUUGAUGUUAUAUGCACGAGUAGAACACAAGUGAGUUGUGGGCGAUAUAAGUCAUACUGCUUACCAGCAUGUCAUACUUUGGUUCGGCGGUAUUGUUGGAUGAAGCGGCCCGGACCGACAUUACGCGUACGCUUACGCGAGACUGGUUCUACCGACGUGCUUUGCACACAGGUGGAUGGCGGGUGUCUGUUUCUCCAACUUCAGUUGAACCAAGUGUGGCUACGCCUGGUCCUCGCGAAGGUUAAAACAGCACCAACUUGACAAACUAUCGUUGUGGUUUUGAUGCGUAGGUAAGAUUGGUUCUUGCUUAAGCCCGUAGCAGCCACGUAAAACUUGCAACAGACAAAGUAGAGGACGUCUAACUUGUUUUUGCAGGGCAUGUUGUGAUGUGAUAUGGUCAAGACAUGAUGCUAAAUUUUAUUGUAUGAGAUGAUCAUGUUUUGUAACCGAGUUAUCGGCAACUGGUAGGAGCCAUAUGGUUGUCGCUUUAUUGUAUGCAAUGCAAUCGCGCUGUAAUGCUCUACUUUAUCACUAAGUACAAGAUGCUCUACUGGUAGGAGCCAACUGGUAGGAGCCAUACGAUAGUCGUGGAAGCAUAAGAUUGGCGAUACGACAAUGAUGCAACGAUGGAGAUCAAGGUGUCGCGCCGGUGACGAUGGUGAUCAUGACGAUACUUCGGAGAUGGAGAUCACAAGUACAAGAAGAUGAUGGCCAUAUCAUAUCACUUAUAUUGAUUGCAUGUGAUGUUUAUCUUUUAUGCAUCUUAUAUUGCUUUGAUUGACGGUAGCAUUAUAAGAUGAUCUCUCACUAAAUUUCAAGAUAAAGGUGUUCUCCCUGAGUAUGCACCAUUGCCAAAGUUUGUCAUGCCCAGACACCACGUGAUGAUCGGGUGUGAUAAGCUCUACGUCCAUCUACAAUGGGUGCAAGCCAGUUUUUGCACAUGCAGAAUACUCAGGUUAAACUUGACGAGCCUAGCAUAUGCAGAUAUGGCCUCAGAACACUGAGACCUAAAGGUCGAGCGUGAAUCAUAUAGUAGAUAUGAUCAACAUAGCAAUGUUCACCAUUGAAAACUACUCCAUUUCACGUGAUGAUCGGUUAUGGUUUAGUUGAUUUGGAUCACGCGUAAUCACUUAGAAGAUUAGAGGGAUGUCUUUCUAAGUGGGAGUUCUUAAGUAAUAUGAUUAAUUGAACUUAAAUUUAUCAUGAACUUAGUACCUGAUAGUAUCUUGCUUGUUUAUGUUUGAUUGUGGAUAGAUGGCCCGUGCUGUUGUUCCGUUGAAUUUUAAUGCGUUCCUUGAGAAAGCAAAGUUGAAAGAUGAUGGUAGCAAUUACACAGAAUGGGUCUGUAACUUGAGGAUUAUCCUCAUUGCUGCACCGAAGAAUUACAUCCUGGAAGCACCGCUGGGUGCCAGGCCUGCUGCUGGAGCAACACCAGAUGUUAUGAACGUCUGGCAGAGCAAAGCUGAUGACUACUCGAUAGUUCAGUGUGCCAUGCUUUACGGCUUAGAAUCGGGACUUCAACGACGUUUUGAACGUCAUGGAGCAUAUGAGAUGUUCCAGGAGUUGAAGUUAAUAUUUCAAGCAAAUGCCCGGAUUGAGAGAUAUGAAGUCUCCAAUAAGUUCUAUAGCUGCAAGAUGGAGGAGAACAGUUCUGUCAGUGAGCAUAUACUCAAAAUGUUUGGGUAUAAUAAUCACUUGAUUCAAUUAGGAGUUAAUCUUCCAGAUGAUUGCGUCAUUGACAGAAUUCUCCAAUCACUGCCACCUAGCUACAAGAGCUUCGUGAUGAACUAUAAUAUGCAAGGGAUGAAUAAGACUAUUCCUGAGCUCUUCGCAAUGCUGAAAGCUGCGGAGGUAGAAAUCAAGAAAUCAAGAAGGAGCAUCAAGUGUUGAUGGUCAACAAGACCACUAGUUUCAAGAAAAGGGCAAAGGUAAGAAGAAGGGGAACUUCAAGAAGAACAGCAAGCAAGUUGCUGCUCAAGAGAAGAAACCCAAAUCUGGACCUAAGCCUGAAACCGAGUGCUUCUACUGCAAGCAGACUGGUCACUGGAAGCGGAACUGCCCGAAGUAUUUGGCGGAUAAGAAGGAUGGCAAGGUGAACAAAGGUAUAUGUGAUAUACAUGUUAUUGAUGUGUACCUUACUAGAGCUUGCAGUAGCACCUGGGUAUUUGAUACUGGUUCUGUUGCUAAUAUUUGCAACUCGAAACAGGGACUACGGAUUAAGCGAACACUGGCGAAGGACGAGGUGACGAUGCGCGUGGGAAAUGGUUCCAAAGUCGAUGUGAUCGCGGUCGGCACGCUACAUCUACAUCUACCAUCGGGAUUAGUAUUAGACCUAAAUAAUUGUUAUUUGGUGCCAGCGUUGAGCAUCAACAUUAUAUCUGGAUCUUAUUUGAUGCAAGACGGUUAUUCAUUUAAAUCAGAGAAUAAUGGCUGUUCUAUUUAGAUGAGUAAUAUCUUUUAUGGUCAUGCACCCUUGAAGAGUGGUCUAUUUUUGAUGAAUCUCGAUAGUAGUGAUACACAUAUUCAUAAUGUUGAAACCAAAAGAUGUAGAGUUGAUAAUGAUAGUGCAACUUAUUUGUGGCACUGCCGUUUAGGUCAUAUCGGUGUAAAACACAUGAAGAAACAACAUACUGAUGGACUUUUGGAAUCACUUGAUUAUGAAUCACUUGGUACUUGCAAACCGUGCCUCAUGGGCAAGAUGACUAAAACACCGUUCUCCGGUACUAUGUAGAGAGCAACAGAUUUGUUGGAAAUCAUACAUAUAGAUGUAUGUGGUCCAAUGAAUGUUGAAGCUCGUGGCGGAUAUCGUUAUUUUCUCACCUUCACAGAUGAUUUAAGCAGAUAUGGGUAUAUCUACUUAAUGAAACAUAAGUCUGAAACAUUUGAAAAGUUCAAAGAAUUUCAGAGUGAAGUUGAAAAUCAUCGUAACAAGAAAAUAAAGUUUCUACGAUCUGAUCGUGGAGGAGAAUAUUUGAGUUACGAGUUUAGUCUAAAUUUGAAACAAAGCGGAAUAGUUUCGCAACUCACGCCACCCGGAACACCACAGCGUAAUGGUGUGUCCGAACGUCGUAAUCGUACUUUACUUGAUAUGGUGCGAUCUAUGAUGUCUCUUACAGAUUUACCGCUAUCGUUUUGGGGUUAUGCUCUAGAGACAGCCACAUUCACGUUAAAUAGGGCACCAUCAAAAUCCGUUGAGACGACACCUUAUGAACUGUGGUUUGGCAAGAAACCAAAGUUGUCGUUUCUAAAAGUUUGGGGCUGCGAUGCUUAUGUGAAAAAGCUUCAACCUGAUAAGCUCGAACCCAAAUCGGAGAAAUGUGUCUUCAUAGGCUACCCAAAGGAGACUGUUGGGUACACCUUCUAUCACAGAUCCGAAGGCAAGACAUUCGUCGCUAAAAAUGGAUCCUUUCUAGAGAAGGAGUUUCUCUCGAAAGAAGUGAGUGGGAGGAAAGUAGAACUUGAUGAGGUAACUGUACCUGCUCCCUUAUUGGAAAGUAGUACAUCGCAGAAACCGGUUUCUGUGAUACCUACACCAAUUAGUGAGGAAGCUAAUGAUAAUGAUCAUGAAACUUCAGAACAAGUUACUACCGAACCUCGUAGAUCAACCAGAGUAAGAUCCGCACGAGAGUGGUACGGUAAUCCUGUUCUGGAAGUCAUGCUACUAGAUCAUGAUCAACCUACGAACUAUGAAGAAGCGAUGGUGAGCCCAGAUUCCGCAAAAUGGCUUGAAGCCAUGAAAUCUGAGAUGGGAUCCAUGUAUGAGAACAAAGUAUGGACUUUGGUUGACUUGCCCAAUGAUCGGCAAGCAAUUGAGAAUAAAUGGAUCUUCAAGAAGAAGACUGACGCUGACGGUAAUAUUAUUGUCUACAAAGCUCGACUUGUCGCAAAAGGUUUUCGACAAGUUCAAGGGAUUGACUACGAUGAGACCUUCUCAUCCGUAGUGAUACUUAAGUCUGUCCGAAUCAUGUUAGCAAUUGCCGCAUUUUAUGAUUAUGAAAUUUGGCAGAUGGACGUCAAAACUGCAUUCCUGAAUGGAUUUCUGGAAGAAGAGUUGUAUAUGAUGCAGCCGGAAGGUUUUGUCGAUCCAAAGGGAGCUAACAAAGUGUGCAAGCUCCAGCGAUCCAUUUAUGGACUGGUGCAAGCCUCUCGGAGUUGGAAUAAACGCUUUGAUAGUGUGAUCAAAGCAUUUGGUUUUGUACAUACUUUUGGAGAAGCCUGUAUUUACAAGAAAGUGAGUGGGAGCUCUGUAGCAUUUAUGAUAUAUAUGUAGAUGACAUAUUACUAAUAGGAAAUGAUAUAGAAUUUCUGGAUAGCAUAAAGGGAUACUUGAAUAAGAGUUUUUCAAUGAAAGACCUCGGUGAAGCUGCUUACAUAUUGGGCAUUAAAAUCUAUAGAGAUAGAUCAAGACGCUUAAUUGGACUUUCACAAAGCACAUACCUUGACAAAGUUUUGAAGAAGUUCAAAAUGGAUCAAGCAAAGAAAGGAUUCUUGCCUGUGUUACAAGGUGUGAAAUUGAGUAAGACUCAAUGCCCGACCAAUGCAGAAGAUAGAGAGAAAAUUAAAGAUGUUCCCUAUGCUUCAGCCAUAGGCUCUAUCAUGUAUGCAAUGCUGUGUACCAGACCUGAUGUGUGUCUUGCUAUAAGUCUAGCAGGGAGGUACCAAAGUAAUCCAGGAGUGGAUCACUGGACAGCGGUCAAAAACAUCCUGAAAUACCUGAAAAGGACUAAGGAUAUGUUUCUCAUAUAUGGAGGUGACAAAGUGCUCAUCAUAAAUGGUUACGUUGAUGCAAGCUUUGACACUGAUCCGAACGAUUCUAAAUUGCAAACCGGAUACGUGUUUACAUUAAACGGUGGAGCUGUUAGUUGGUGCAGUUCUAAACAAAGCGUUGUGGCGGGAUCUACAUGUGAAGCGGAGUACAUAGCUGCUUCGGAAGCAGCAAAUGAAGGAGUCUGGAUGAAGGAGUUCAUAUCCGAUCUAGGUGUCAUACCUAGUGCAUCGGGUCCAAUGAAAAUCUUUUGUGACAAUACUGGUGCAAUUUCCUUGGCAAAGGAAUCCAGAUUUCACAAGAGAGCCAAGCACAUCAAGAGACGCUUCAAUUCCAUCCGGGAUCUAGUCCAGGUGCGAGACAUAGAGAUUUGCAAGAUACAUACAGAUCUGAAUGUUGCAGACCCAUUGACUAAGCCUCUUCCACGAGCAAAACAUGAUCAUCACCAAAGCUCCAUGGGUGUUAGAAUCAUUAUUGUGUAAUCUAGAUUAUUGACUCUAGUGCAAGUGGGAGACUGAAGGAAAUAUGCCCUAGAGGCAAUAAUAAUGUUAUUAUUUUAUUUCCUUAUAUCAUGAUAAAUGUUUAUUAUUCAUGCUAGAAUUGUAUUAUCCGGAAACAUAAUACUUGUGUGAAUACAUAGACAAACUAAACGUCACUAGUAUGCCUCUACUUGACUAGCUCAUUAAUCAAAGAUGGUUAUGUUUCCUAACCAUAGACAUGUGUUGCCAUGUGAUUAACGGGAUCACAUUAUUAGGAGAAUGAUGUGAUUGACAUGACCCAUUCCAUUAGCUUAGCACCCGAUCGUUUAGUAUGUUGCUAUUGCUUUCUUCAUGACUUAUACAUGUUCCUAUGACUAUGAGAUUAUGCAACUCCCGUUUGCCGGAGGAACACUUUGUGUGCUACCAAACGUCAGAACGUAACUGGGUGAUUAUAAAGGUGCUCUACAGGUGUCUCCAAAGGUACAUGUUGGGUUGGCGUAUUUCGAGAUUAUGAUUUGUCACUCCGAUUGUCGGAGAGGUAUCUCUGGGCCCACUCGGUAAUGCACAUCACCUAACCCUUGCAAGCAAUGCAACUAAUGAGUUAGUUGUGAGAUGAUGUAUUAUGGAACGAGUAAAGAGACUUGCCGGCAACGAGAUUGAACUAGGUAUUGAGAUACCGACGAUCGAAUCUCGGGCAAGUAACAUACUGAUGACAAAGGGAACAACGUAUGUUGUUAUGCUGUCUGACCGAUAAAAGAUCUUCGUAGAAUAUGUGGGAGCCAAUAUGAGCAUCCAGGUUCCGCUAUUGGUUAUUGACCGGAGACGUGUCUCGGUCAUGUCUACAUUGUUCUCGAACCCGUAGGGUCCGCACGCUUAAGGUUUCGAUGACAGUUAUAUUAUGAGUUUAUUAGUUUUGAUGUACCGAAGUUGGUUCGGACUCCCGGAUAUGAUCACAGACAUGACGAGGAGUCUCGAAAUGGUCGAUACAUAAAGAUUGAUAUAUUGGACGACUAUAUUCGGACACCGGAAGUGUUCCGGGGAAGUUUCGGAUAAAACCGGAGUAUCGGGGGGUUACCGGAACCCCCCCGGGGGUUAAUGGGCCUCAUGGGCCUAAAGUGGAGAAGAGGAGGGGCGGCCAAGGCAGGCCGCGUGCCCCCUCUCCCUCUAGUCCGAAUUGGACAAGGAGGGAGGGGCGGCGUCCCCCCUUUCCUUCCUCUCCUCUCUCCCUUCCUUCCCCCUCUCCUACUUGGACAAGGAAAAGGAGGGAGUCCUACUCCCGGUAGGAGUAGGACUCCUCCCUGGAGCGCCUCCUCCUGGCCGGCCGCCCCUCCCCCUUGCUCCUUUAUAUAUGGGGGCAGGGGGCACCCCUAGAGACAACAAUUGAUCCUUGAGAUCUCUUAGCCAUGUGUGGUGCCUCCCUGCGAUGGUAGAACAUCAAGAUCGUCACCACGCCGUCAUGCUGACGGAACUCUUCCCCGACACUUUGCUAGAUCGGAGUCCGGGGAUCAUCAUCGAGAUGAACGUGUGCUGGAACUCGGAGGUGCCGUAGAUUCGGUGCUUGAUCGGUCGGGCCGUGAAGACGUACGACUACAUCAACCGCGUUGUUAUAACGCUUCCUCUUUCGGUCUACGAGGGUACGUGGACAACACUCUCCCCUCUUGUUGCUAUGCAUCACCAUGAUCUUGCGUGUGCGUAGGAAAUUUUUUGAAAUUACUAUGUUCCCNNNNNNNNNNNNNNNNNNNNNNNNNNNNNNNNNNNNNNNNNNNNNNNNNNNNNNNNNNNNNNNNNNNNNNNNNNNNNNNNNNNNNNNNNNNNNNNNNNNNNNNNNNNNNNNNNNNNNNNNNNNNNNNNNNNNNNNNNNNNNNNNNNNNNNNNNNNNNNNNNNNNNNNNNNNNNNNNNNNNNNNNNNNNNNNNNNNNNNNNNNNNNNNNNNNNNNNNNNNNNNNNNNNNNNNNNNNNNNNNNNNNNNNNNNNNNNNNNNNNNNNNNNNNNNNNNNNNNNNNNNNNNNNNNNNNNNNNNNNNNNNNNNNNNNNNNNNNNNNNNNNNNNNNNNNNNNNNNNNNNNNNNNNNNNNNNNNNUCCACUGACGUACUCCUUCCACCUAUAUAUACCUACGUACCCCCAAACGAUCAGGUACGGAGCCAAAAACAUAAUUCCACCGACGCAACCUUCUGUAUCCACGAGGUCCCAUCUUGGGGCCUGUUCCGGAGCUCCGCCGGAUGGGGCAUCCAUCACAGAGGGCUUCAACAUCAACACCAUAGCCUCUCCGAUGAAGUGUGAGUAGUUUACCUCAGACCUUCGGGUCCAUAGUUAUUAGCUAGAUGACUUCUUCUCUCUUUUUGGAUCUCAAUACAAUGUUCUCCCCCUCUCUUGUGGAGAUCUAUUGGAUGUAAUCUUCUUUUUGCGGUGCGUUUGUUGAGACCGAUGAAUUGUGGGUUUAUGAUCAAGAUUAUCUAUGAACAAUAUUUGAAUCUUCUCUAAAUUCUUUUAUGUAUGAUUGGUUAUCUUUGCCAGUCUCUUCGAAUUAUCAGUUUGGUUUGGCCUACUAGAUUGAUCUUUCUUGCAAUGGGAGAAGUGCUUAGCUUUGGGUUCAAUCUUGCGGUGUCCUUUCCCAAUGACAGUAGGGGGAGCAAGGCACGUAUUGUAUUGUUCCCAUCGAGGAUAAGAAGAUGGUUUUUUUUAUCAUAUUGCAUGAAUUUAUCCCUCUACAUCAUGUCAUCUUGCUUAAGGCGUUACUCUCUUUUCAUGAACUUAAUACUCUAGAUGCAGGCAGGAGUCGGUCUACUUGUCUCGGACGUUAUGCCUAUAUACAUGAUCAUACCUAGAUAUUCUCAUAACUAUGCUCAAUUUUGUCAAUUGCUCAACAGUAAUUCGUUCACCCACCGUAAAAUACUUAUGCUCUUGAGAGAAGCCACUAGUGAAACCUAUGGCCCCCGGGUCUAUCUUCAUCAUAUAAAUCUUCCUUUGCUUUUUACUUUGCUUUUAUUUUACUUUGCAUCUUUAUCAUAAAAAUACGAAAAAUAUUAUCUUAUCAUAUCUAUCAGAUCUCACUCUUGUAAAUGACCGUGAAGGGAAUGACAACCCCUUAUCGCGUUGGUUGCGAGGAGUUAUUUGUUUUGUGUAGGUACAAGGGACUCCCACGGAGCCUUCUACUGGAUUGAUACCUUGGUUCUCAAAAACUGAGGGAAAUAAUUACGCUACUUUGCUGCAUCAUCCUUUCCUCCUCAAGGAAAUCCAACGCAGUGCUCAAGAGGUAGCAACCUCCCCGACAACGGCACCAGAAGUCCUUGCUACCUCUUGAGCACUUGCAUUGGUUUUCCCUUGAAGAGGAAAGGGUGGUCCAGCAAAGUAGCGUAAGUAUUUCCCUCAUUUUUUGAGAACCAAGGUAUCAAUCCAGUAGGAGGCCACGCAUGAGUCCCUCGUACCUACACAAACAAAUAAAUCCUCGCAACCAACGCAAUAAGGGGUUGUCAAUCCCUACACGGUCACUUAUGAGAGUGAGAUCUUAUAGAUAUGAUAAGAUAAUAUUUUUGGUAUUUUUAUGAUAAAGAUGCAAAGUAAAAUAAGAGACAAUAAAAAUAAAUAAGUAUUGGAAGAUUAAUAUGAUAUAAGAUAGACCCGGGGGCCAUAGGUUUCACUAGUGGCUUCUCUCGAGAGCAUAAGUAUUCAUGGCGGGUAAACAAAUUACUGUUGAACAAUUGACAGAAUUGAGCAUAGUUAUGAGAAUAUCUAGGUAUGAUCAUGUAUAUAGGCAUCACGUCCAAGACAAGUAGACCGACUCCUGCCUACAUCUACUACUAUUACCCCACACAUCGACCGCUAUCCAGCAUGCAUCUAGAGUAUUAAGUUCAAGAGAACAGAGUAACGCUUUAAGCAAGAUGACAUGAUGUAGAGGGAUAAACUCAAGCAAUAUGAAAUAAACCCCAUCUUGUUAUCCUCGAUGGCAACAAUACAAUACGUGCCUUGCUGCCCCUACUGUCACUGGGAAAGGACACUGCAAGAUUGAACCCAAAGCUAAGCACUUCUCCCAUUGCAAGAAAGAUCAAUCUAGUAGGACAAACCAAACUGAUAAUUCAAAGAGACUUGCAAAGAUAACCAAUCAUACAUAAAAGAAUUCAGAGAAGAUUCAAAUAUUGUUCAUAGAUAAACUUGAUCAUAAACCCACAAUUCAUCGGUCUCAACAUACACACCGCAAAAGAAGAUUACAUCGAAUAGAUCUCCACAAGAGAGGGGGAGAACUUUGUAUUGAGAUCCAAAAAGAGAGAAGAAGUCAUCUAGCUAAUAACUAUGGACACAUAGAUCUGAGGUAAACUACUCACACUUCAUCGGAAGGGCUAUGGUGUUGAUGUAGAAGCCCUCCGUAAUCGAUGCCCCCUCCGGCGGAGCUCCAGAACAGGCCCCAAGAUGGGAUCUCGUGGACACAGAAAGUUACGGCGGUGGAAUUAGGGUUUUGGCUCCGUAUCUGGUAGUUUGGGGGUACGUAGGUAUAUAUAGGAGGAAGGAGUACAUCGGUGGAGCAACAAGGGGCCCACGAGGGUGGAGGGCGCGCCCCCACCUCGUGGCCUCCUGGUUGAUGUCUUGAUGUAGGGUCCAAGUCCUCUGGAUCAUGUUCGUUCCGAAAAUCACGUUCCCGAAGGUUUCAUUCCGUUUGGACUCCGUUUGAUAUUCUUUUUCCGCGAAACCCUAAAAUAGGCCAAAAAACAGCAAUUCUGGGCUGGGCCUCCGGUUAAUAGGUUAGUCCCAAAAAUAAUAUAAAAGUGUAUAAUAAAGCCCAAUAAUGUCCAAAAUAGAAUAUAAUAUAGCAUAGAACAAUCAAAAAUUAUAGAUACAUUGGAGACGUAUCAUGAGGUGACUCGCGCAUGGUCUCCUACUGGAUUGAUACCUUGGUUCUCAAAAACUGAGGGAAAUACUUACGCUGCUUUGCUGCAUCACCCUUUCCUCUUCAAGGGAAAACCAACGCAUGCUCAAGAGGUAGCAUGCCUCUACUUCACUAGCUCGUUAAUCAACGAUGGUUAUGUUUCCUGACCAUAGACAUGUGUUGUCAUUUGAUGAACGGGAUCAUAUCAUUAGAGAAUGAUGUGAUGGACAAGACCCAUCCAUUAGCUUAGCAUAAUGAUCGUUUAGUUUUAUUUCUAUUGCUUUCUUCAUGACUUAUACAUAUUCCUCUAACUAUGAGAUUAUGCAACUCCCGAAUACCGUAGGAACACAUUGUGUGCUAUCAAACGUCACAACAUAACUGGGUGAUUACGAAGAUGCUCUACACGGGUCUCCGAAGGUGUUUGUUGAGUUGGCAUAGAUCGAGAUUAGAAUUUGUCACUCCGAGUAUCGGAGAGGUAUCUCUGGGCCCUCUCGGUAAUCCAUAUCACUAUAAGCCUUGAAAGCAAUGUAACUAAUGAGUUAGUUACGGGAUGAUGCAUUACAGAACGAGUAAAGAGACUUGCUGGUAACGAGAUUGAACUAGGUAUGUUGAUACCGACGAUCGAAUCUCGGGCAAGUAACAUACCGAUGACAAAGGGAAUGACAUAUGUUGUUAUGCGGUUUGACCGAUAAAUAUCUUCAUAGAAUAUGUAUAAGCCAAUAUGAGCAUCUAGGUUCCAGUAUUGGUUAUUGACCGGAGAUGUGUCUUGGUCAUGUCUACAUAGUUCUCGAAUCCGUAGGGUCCGCACGCUUAACGUUCGAUGACGAUUUGUAUUAUGAAUUAUGUGUUUUGGUGACCGAAGUUUGCUCGGAGUCCCGAAUGAGAUCACAGACAUGACGAGGAGUCUCGAAAUGGUCGAGAGAUAAAUAUUCAUAUAUUGGAAGGUUAUAUUCGGACAUCGGAAUGGUUCCAAGUGAUUCGAAUAUUUUACGGGAGUACCGAGGGGUUACCGGAACCCUCCGGGGGAAUAAUGGGCCUUAGUGGGCAUUAGUGAAGAGAGAGGAGGGCCGCACGAGAGGUGGUGCGCGCGCCCCUUGCCCAAUCUGAAUUGGACAAGGGGAGGGGGAACCCCCCUUUCCCUUACCCUCUCCCUCUCCUUCCUAUUCCCUCCGGUUGAGAAANNNNNNNNNNNNNNNNNNNNNNNNNNNNNNNNNNNNNNNNNNNNNNNNNNNNNNNNNNNNNNNNNNNNNNNNNNNNNNNNNNNNNNNNNNNNNNNNNNNNNNNNNNNNNNNNNNNNNNNNNNNNNNNNNNNNNNNNNNNNNNNNNNNNNNNNNNNNNNNNNNNNNNNNNNNNNNNNNNNNNNNNNNNNNNNNNNNNNNNNNNNNNNNNNNNNNNNNNNNNNNNNNNNNNNNNNNNNNNNNNNNNNNNNNNNNNNNNNNNNNNNNNNNNAAUCCUACUUGAGCUAGGAGUCCAAGUAGGACUCCCCCCUUGGCGCGCCCCUCCUAGCCGCUGGCCUCCUCCUCCUCCUUUAUAUACGGGGGCGGGGGGCACCCCAAAGGACACCAAGAUUUCUCUUAGUCGUGUGCGGUACCCCCCCCCCUCCACAAUUUACUCCUCCGUUCAUAUUGUCGUAGUGCUUAGGAGAAGCCCUGCGCGGAUCACAUCACCAUCACCGUCGCCACGCCGUCGUGCUGAUGGAACUCUCCCUCGACCCUCUACUGGAUCAAGAGUUCGAGGGACGUCAUCGAGCUGAACGUGUGCUGAACAUGGAGGUGUCAUACGUUCGGUACUUGGAUCAGUCGGAUCGUCAAGACAUUCGACUACAUCAACCGCGUUAAUCUAACACUUCCGCUUUUGUUCUACAAGGGUACGUGGACACAGUCUCCCCUCUCACCCUCUCAUUGCUAUGCAUCUCCUAGAUAGAUCUUGCUUGAUCAUAGGAUUUUUUUUGAAAUUGCUUGCUACGUUCCCCAACAAUGGUAUCAUAGCCAGGUUUAUGUGUAGAUGAUAUGCACGGGUAGAACACAAAGAGUUGUGCACAAUAAUAGUCAUACUACUUACCACCAACAUCUUACUUUGAUUCGGCGGUAUUAUUGGAUGAAGCGGCCCAGACCGACAUUACAUGACCGCGUUCAUGAGACUGGUUCUACCGACGUGCUUUGCACACAGGUGGCUAGCGGGUGUCUGUUUCUCCAACUUUAGUUGAAUCGAGUUUGACUACGGCCGGUCCUUAUUGAAGGUUAAAAAAUCGUUGUGGUUUUGAUGCGUAGGUAAGAACGGUUCUUGCUAGAAGCCCGUAGCAUCCACGUAAAACUUGCAGGAACAAAGUAGAGGACGUCUAACUUCUUUUUGCAAGGCAUGUUGUGAUGUGAUAUGGUCAAGACGUGUUGAGAUAUAAAUUGUUGUAUGAGAUGAUCAUGUUUUGUAAAAGUUAUCGGCAACUGGCAGGAGCCUUAUGGUUGUCGCUUUAUUGUAUGAAAUGCAAUCGACAUGUAAUUUCUUUACUUUAUCACUAAGCGGUAGCGAUAGUCGUAGAAGCAAUAGUUGGCGAGACGACAACGACGCUACGAUGGAGAUCAAGGUGUCAAGCCGGUGACGAUGGAGAUCAUGACGGUGCUUUUGAGAUGGAGAUCAAUGGCACAAGAUGAUGAUGGCAAUAUCAUGUCACAUAUUUUGAUUGCAUGUGAUAUUUAUCCUUUAUGCAUCUUAUUUUGCUUAGUACGGCGGUAGCAUUAUAAGAUGAUCCCUCACUAAAUUUCAAGGUACAAGUUUUCUCCCUGAGUAUGCACCGUUGCUACAGUUCGUUGUGCCGAGACACCACGUGAUGAUCGGGUGUGAUAAGCUCUACGUUCACAUACAAUGGGUGCAAGCCAGUUUUGCACAUGCAGAAUACUCGGGUUAAACUGGACGAGCCUAGCAUAUGCAGAUAUGGCCUCGGAACAUUGAGACCGAAAGGUCGAACAUGAAUCAUAUAGUAGAUAUGAUCAACAUAGUGAUGUUCACCAUUGAAAACUACUCCAUCUCACGUGAUGAUCGGACAUGGUUUAGUUGAUAUGGAUCACGUGAUCAUUUAGAUGACUAGAGGGAUGUCUAUCUAAGUGGGAGUUCUUAAGUAAUAUGAUUAAUUGAACUUUAAUUUAUCAUGAACUUAGUACCUGAUAGUUUUCGCAUAUCUAUGUUGUUGUAGAUCAAUGGCACGUGCUCCCGUUCCCUUGAAUUUUAAUGCGCUCCUAGAGAAAGCUAAGUUGAAAGAUGAUGGUAGCAACUACACGGACUAGGUCCGUAACUUGAGGAUUAUCCUCAUUGCUGCACAGAAGAAUUACGUCCUUGAACCACCGCUAGGUGUGCCACCCCCUCCAACAACUAUGGACAUUGUGAAUGCCUGACAGUCGCGUGUUGAUGACUACUCGAUAGUUCAAUGUGCCAUGCUUUAUGGCUUAGAAUCGGGACUUCAACAACGUUUCGAACGUCAUGUAUCAUAUGAGAUGUUCCAGGAGUUGCAGUUAAUAUUUCAAGUAAAUGCAUGAGUUGAGAGAUAUGAAGUCUCCAACAAGUUCUAUAGCUGCAAGAUGGAGGAGAAUAGUUCUGUCAGUGAACACAUACUCAGAAUGUCUGGGUACCAUAACUACUUGACUCAGCUGGGAGUUAAUAUUCCUGAUGAUAGUGUCAUUGAUAGAGAUAUUCAGUCACUUCCACCAAGUUAUAAAGGUUUCAUGAUGAACAAUAAUAUGCAAGGGAUGUAAAAGACAAUUCCCGAGCUCUUCGUAAUGCUAAAGGCUACGGAGGUAGAAAUCAAGAAGGAGCAUCAAGUGUUGGUGGUUAACAAGACCACUAGUUUCAAGAAAAAGGGCAAAGGGAAGAAGGGGAACUUCAAGAAAAAUAGCAAGCAAGUUGCUGCUCAAGGGAAGAAGCCCAAGUCUGGACCUAAGCCUGAAACUGAGUGCUUCUACUGCAAAGGGACUGGUCACUGAAAGCAGAACUUCCCCAAGUAUUUGGCAGAUAAGAAGGAUGGCAAAGUGAAAGGUAUAUUUGAUAUACAUGUUAUUGAUGUGUACCUUACUAAUGCUCAUAGUAGCGUCUGGGUAUUUGAUACUAGUUCUAUUGCUCAUAUUUGCAACUCAAAACAAGGGCUACGGAUUAAAUGAAGAUUGGCUAAGGACGAGGUGACGAUGCGUGUGUGAAAUGGUUCCAAAGUCGAUGUGAUCACCGUCGGCAUGCUACCCCUACAUCUACCAUCGGGAUUAGUUUUAGACCCAAAUAAUUGUUAUUUGGUGCCAGCCUUGAGCAUGAACAGUAUAUCUAGAUCUUGUUUGAUGCGAGAUGGUUAUUCAUUUAAAUCAGAGAAUAAUGGUUGUUCUGUUUAUAUGAGUAAUAUCUUUUAUGGUCAUGCACCCUUGGUGAGUGGUCUAUUUUUGUUGAAUCUCGAUUGUAGUGAUACACAUAUUCAUAAUAUUGAAGCCAAAAAAUGCAAAGUUAAUAAUGAUAGUGCAACUUAUUUGUGGCACUGCCGUUUAGGUCAUAUUGGUGUAAAGCGCAUGAAGAAACUCCAUGCUGAUGGGCUUUUGGAAUCACUUGAUGCUUGCGAACCAUGCCUCAUGGGCAAGAUGACUAAGACUCCGUUCUCCGGAACAAUGGAGCAAGCAACUGACUUAUUGGAAAUAAUACAUACUGAUGUAUGCGGUCCGAUGAGUGUUGAGGUUCGCGGCGGGUAUCAUCAUUUUUUUGACCUUCAUAGAUGAUUUGAGCAGAUAUGGGCAUAUCUACUUAAUUAAACAUAAGUCUGAAACAUUUGAAAAGUUCAAAGAAUUUCAGAGUGAAGUGGAAAAUCAUCGUAACAAGAAAAUAAAGUUUCUACAAUCUGAUCAUGGAGGUGAAUAUUUGAGUUAUGAGUUUGGUCUUCAUUUGAAACAAUGUGGAAUAGUUUCACAACUCCCGCCACCUGGAACACCGCAGCGUAAUGGUGUGUCCGAAAGUCAUAACCGUACUUUAUUAGAUAUGAUGCGAUCUAUGAUGUCUCUUGCUGAUUUACCGCUAUCGUUUUGGGGUUAUGCUUUAGAGACGGCUGCAUUCACGUUAAAUAGGGCACCAUCUAAAUCCGUUGAGACGACACCUUAUGAUAUGUGGUUUAGCAAGAAACCUAAGUUGUCGUUUCUUAAAGUUUGAGGUUGCGAUGCUUAUGUGAAAAAUCUUCAACCUGAUAAGCUCGAACCCAAAUCGGAGAAAUGUGUCUUCAUAGGGUACCCAAAGUAAAUUGUUGGGUACACCUUCUAUCACAGAUCCGAAGGCAAGAUAUUUGUUGCUAAGAAUGGAUCCUUUCUAGAGAAGGAGUUUCUCUCGAAAGAAGUGAGUGGGAGGAAAGUAGAACUUGAUGAGGUAAUCGUACCUUCUCCGGAAUUGGAAAGUAGUUCAUCACAGAAACCAGUUCCAGUGAUUCCUACACCAGUUCCAGAUCAAGUUACCACUGAACCUCGUAGCUCAACCAGAGUACGAUCCACACCAAAGUGGUACGGUAAUCCUGUUCUGGAGGUCAUGUUACUUGAUCAUGACGAACCUACGAACUAUGAGGAAGCGAUGAUGAGCCCAGAUUCCAUGAAAUGGCUUGAGGCCAUGAAAUCUGAGAUGGGAUCCAUGUAUGAGAACAAAGUGUGGACUUUGGUUGACUUGCCCAAUGAUCGGCAAGCCAUAGUGAAUAAAUGGAUUUUCAAGAAGGAGACUGAUGCCAACGGUAAUGUUACUGUCUGCAAAGAUUGACUUGUUGCAAAAGGUUUUCGACAAGUUCAAGGAGUUAACUACGAGACUUUCUCACCCAUAGCAAUGCUUAAGUCUAUCCGAAUCAUGUUAGCAAUUGCCGCAUUUUAUGAUUAUGGAAUUUGGCAAAUGGAUGUCAAAACUGCAUUCCUUAAUGGAUAUCUUAAAAAAGAGUUGUAUAUGAUGCAACCAGAAGGUUUUGUCGAUACUAAAGGUGCUAACAAACUGUGCAAGCUCCAGCGAUCCAUUUAUGGACUGGUGCAAGCCUCUCGAAGUUGGAAUAUACGAUUUGAUAGUGUGAUCACAACAUAUGGUUUUAUACAGACUUUUGGAGAAGCCUGUAUUUAGAAGAAAGUGAGUGGGAGCUCUGUAGCAUUUCUAAUAUUAUAUGUGGAUGGCAUAUUGAUUAUUGGAAAUAAUACAUAAUUUCUGGAUAGCAUAAAAGAAUACUUGAAUAAGAAUUUUUCAAUGAAAGACCUCGGUGAAACUUCUUACAUAUUGGGCAUCAAGAUCUAUAAUGAUAGAUCAAGACACGUAAUUGGACUUUCACAAAGCACAUACCUUGAUAAAGUUUUGAAGAAGUUCAAAAUGGACCAGUCAAAGAAAGGGUUCUUGCCUGUGUUAAAAGGUGUGAAGUUGAGUCAGACUCAAUGCCUGACCACUGAGAGAAAAUGAAAGCCAUUUCCUAGGCCUAAGCCAUAGGUUCUAUCAUGCAUGCAAUGCUGUGUACCAGACCUGAUGUGUGCCUUGCUAUAAGUUUAGUACGGAGGUACCAAAGUAAUCUUGGAGUGGAUCACUGGACAGCGGUCAAGAACAUCCUGAAAUACCUAAAAAGGACAAAGAUAUGUUUCUCAUUUAUGGGGGAGACAAAGAGCUUAUCGUAAAUCGUUACGUCAAUGCAAGCUUUGACACUGAUCCGGAUGACUCUAAGUCACAAACCGGAUACGUAUUUAUAUUGAAUGGUGGAGCUGUAAGUUGGUGCGGUUCCAAGCAGAGCGUCGUGGCGGGAUCUAUGUGUGAAGCAGAGUACAUAGCUGCUUCGGAAGCAGCAAAUGAAGGAGUGCAUAUCCGAUCUAGGUGUAAUACCUAGUGCAUCGGGUCCAAUGAAAAUCUUUUGUGACAAUACUGGAGCAAUUGCCUUGGCGAAGGAAUCCAGAUUUCACAAGAGAACCAAACACAUCAAGAGACGCUUCAAUUCCAUCCGCGAUCAAGUCAAGGAGGGAGACAUAGAGAUUUGCAAAAUACAUACAGAUCUAAAUGUUGCAGACCCGGUGAUUAAGACUCCAUGGGUGUUAGAAUCAUUACUAUGUAAUCUAGAUUAUUGAUUCUAGGGCAAGUGGGAGACUGAAGGAAAUAUGCCCUAGAGGCAAUAAUAAAGUUGUUAUUUACAUUUCCUUAUAUCAUGAUAAAUGUUUAUUAUUCAUACUAGAAUUGUAUUAACCGGAAACUUAGUACAUGUGUGAAUACAUAGACAAAACAGAGUGUCCCUAGUAUGCCUCUACUUGACUAGCUCGUUAAUCAAAGAUGGUUAUGUUUCCUGACCAUAGACAUGUGUUGUCAUUUGAUGAACGGGAUCACAUUAUUAGAGAAUGAUGUGAUGGACAAGACCCAUCCGUUAGCUUAGCAUAAUGAUCGUUUAGUUUUAUUGCUAUUGCUUUCUUCAUGACUUGUACAUAUUCCUAUGACUAUGAGAUUAUGCAACUCCCGAAUACCGGAGGAACACCUUGUGUGCUAUCAAACGUCACAACAUAACUAGGUGAUUAUAAAGAUAUUCUACAGGUGUCUCUGAAUGUGUUUGCUGAGUUGGCAUAGAUUGAGAUUAGGAUUUGUCACUCCGAGUAUCGGAGAGGUAUCUCUGGGCCCUCUCGGUAAUGCACAUCACUAUAAGCCUUGCAAGCAAUGUAACUAAUGAGUUAGUUACAGGAUGAUGCAUUACAGAACGAGUAAAGAGACUUGCCGGUAACGAGAUUGAACUAGGUAUGUUGAUACCGACGAUCGAAUCUCGGGCAACUAACAUACCGAUGACAAAGGGAAUGACGUAUGUUGUUAUACGGUUUUCCCAAUAAAGAUCUUCGUAGAAUAUGUAUGAGCCAAUAUGAGCAUCCAGGUUCCGCUAUUGGUUAUUGACCAGAGAUGUGUCUCGGUCAUGUCUACAUAGUUCUUGAACCCGUAGGGUCCGCAAGCUUAACGUUCGAUGACGAUUUGUAUUAUGAGUUAUGUGUUUUGGUGACCGAAGUUUGUUCGGAGUCCCGGAUAAGAUCAUGGACAUGAUGAGGAGUCUCGAAAUGGUCGAGAGGUAAAGAUUCAUAUAUUGGAAGGUUAUAUUCAGGCAUCUAAAUGUUUCCGAGUGAUUCGGAUAUUUUACCGGAGUACCGAGGGGUUACCGGAACCCCCCGGGGGAAUAAUGGGCCUUAGUGGGCCUUAGUAGAGAGAGAGAGAGGAGGGCUAAAUGGGAGGUGGCGCGCGCCCCCCUUGCCCAAUCCGAAUUGGACAAGGGGAGGGGCCCCCUUUCCCUUUCCCUCUCCCUCUCCUUCCUAUUCCAUCCAUGGAGAAAGGAAAAGGGGGGGUGGGGCGAAUCUUACUUGGACUAGGAGUCCAAGUAGGACUUCCCCCUUGGCACGCCCCUCCUGGCCGCCGGCCUCCUCCUCCCCCCUUUAUAUACGGGGGCGGGGGGGGGGGCACCCCAAAGGACACCAAGAUUUCUCUUAGACGUGUGUGGUGUCCCCCCUCCACAGUUUACUCCUCCGGUAAUAUUGUCGUAGGGCUUAGGCGAAGCCUUGGGCGGAUCACAUCACCAUCACCAUCGUCACGCCGUCGUGCUGAAGGAACUCUCCCUCGACCCUCUACUGGAUCAAGAUUUCGAGGGACGUCAUCGAGCUGAAUGUGUGCUGAACACGGAGGUGUCGUACGUUCGGUACUUGGAUAAUUUGGAUCGUGAAGACGUCCGACUACAUCAACCGCGUUAAUCUAACGCUUCCGCUUUCGGUCUACGAGGGUACGUGGACACACUCUCCCCUCUCGUUGUUAUGCAUCUCCUCGAUAGAUCUUGCGUGAUCGUAGGAAUUUUUUUGAAAUUGCAUGUUACGUUCCCCAACAGAGAUGAGCCGUCCAGCAUCGUCUUCCCUCUCCUCAGCAACGGCUCGCUCCUCUGGUGCGGGAGGCAAGCACGCGGGCACUGGGCGCAUGGAGGAGGGAGGAGAGGAGAGGGAGAUGGAUAGGAGAGGGAGAGGAGAGGGAGAUGGAGAGGAGAUAGAGGAGGCCUGGUGGCGUAGGUGGCCGGAGGCGAGUGUGCACGAGGAGGGAGGGAGGGAGGAGAGGUGCGAGAGGAGGACGGAGGAGGAGCAACGGCUGGUUCGCAGAGAAGGGGAGAAUGGGGGCAUGGCGACACCUGGGGGGUGGGGGACUCAAGUUUGGCCACGCCUCACAGGCUCUUGCUCGGCUCUCUCGCUCGCUCGGCUCGCUCAUGCGCGGACGCCUCGGGUCGCUCAUGUGCGGGACGCAAGACUAUUCAUUGCUGACGUGGAUGCAGUGGUUGUGCCUAGCACCCCACUCAUCCUUUAUAUGUUCAAUGGUUUGAUGUAUGCCAAACUAGAGACCAAGGGGAGUUGACGGUUACAUUUUUGGAUGACAAGAACAUUAGUCUUUUGUGCAAGUUGAUUUGGACACUAGAGAAUGAAUAUGGGGAUUGGUAGGAUAUGCUUAGAGCAAAAUAUUUGAAGAGACAAACUUUGACUCUAUGUAAGUCAUCUCCUUCCAACUCUCAUUUUUUGUAUGGUCUCAUGAUUGACUAAACUUCUUGCGAUUCGCCAUGCACGAUUUUGUGUGAUGUGCAAGACGCCCACAUAUCAAUGUUUGACCCAUGGAGAAUAAAACAAUAGAAAAGGUUGUGCAUCAUCAAAAAUAUAUCCGUUUUCUCUCUAUAAGAAUUCUUUCUUAAAUGGCAGUAACCAUCUAUGAUGGGAACCUUUUUUUUUUGGUUCCUUUUUGGCGGGGCUGUUUCUUUAUUUGUGGUACUCAUAUUAUUAGUUUACUAGUCAUCAACCUGUGCAUAUGCACGGGCUAGCAUAUUUACAACAUUUACUAUCACUAGUAGAAAAAGGUCCAUUUGUCCCGGUUCUAGCAUAUUUACAACAUUUACUAUCACUAGUAGAAAAAGAUCCAUUUGUCCCGGUUUUGAAACUGGGACUAAAGGGUCGGUACUAAAGGCCCGCCCCUUUAGUCCUGGUUCUGGUAUGAACCGGGACUAAAGACCCUCCACAUGGCUGCUGUCUGGGACUAAAGCAAAUUUUACGAAUUGUUUUUUUGAAUUUUUUUAUUUUUUCCCGAUUUUCAAAUUUCUGAAUUAUUUUACAAUUUAAUCUCUAAUCACCCCUCAUCACUACUUAAUUAACCUCUAAUCUCCCCUCAUCAUUCCAAAUCAACUAACUUCCCGGCCGGUCACUCAUCCUCUCACUACUCCAGCCUGAGCACGCUUAACUUCUGGGUUCUAUUCCCCCUCGUUUUCCAUGUCUGCACUUGUUGUUUUCCUGACAAUAGUAAGAUGUCAAUCCUAUUAACCCUCAGGAGUUUAGCUUGAACAUGAAGUCACACAUUUCACUGAUUGAGUUUGAAACUAUAAUUCUAAAAACAAUAAUUAUUUAGUAACACUAAUAUUUCUUGAAUAAGUAGUUUGACCAUUGUUUGACCAGAUUUGACCAAAGUUUUAAAAAACUGAAAUAAUUAUUUAGUAACACUAAUAUUCUUGAAUAAUUAUUUAGUCACACUAAUACUUCUUGAAUAAGUAGUUUGACCAGAUUUAACCAAAAUUUAAAAAAACUGAAAUUUGAGCAUAACUUUUUCCCUUUUUGAAUUUUAGGAUUCUAAAAUUUUGUAAAACGGCCUACAGCGGUCAAAAUCGGAUGCGGAUUUUCGUGCCGAACAUUUUGAUAUAUUAUACAUUUUUUCCGACAUCGUAUGCAAAAGUUAUAGCCGUUUUACUUUUUCGUAACACUUUUUUUGCAAAACAUGUCCAAAUUGAAGUUUUUAAAUUUUCCUAACUAGUAGAUGUAGUAAUAUAACUACAUCUCGAAGGAUUUUAUUUUUUGAAGUUUUUAUCAUUUUCUUUUGUUUUUAACNNNNNNNNNNNNNNNNNNNNNNNNNNNNNNNNNNNNNNNNNNNNNNNNNNNNNNNNNNNNNNNNNNNNNNNNNNNNNNNNNNNNNNNNNNNNNNNNNNNNNNNNNNNNNNNNNNNNNNNNNNNNNNNNNNNNNNNNNNNNNNNNNNNNNNNNNNNNNNNNNNNNNNNNNNNNNNNNNNNNNNNNNNNNNNNNNNNNNNNNNNNNNNNNNNNNNNNNNNNNNNNNNNNNNNNNNNNNNNNNNNNNNNNNNNNNNNNNNNNNNNNNNNNNNNNNNNNNNNNNNNNNNNNNNNNNNNNNNNNNNNNNNNNNNNNNNNNNNNNNNNNNNNNNNNNNNNNNNNNNNNNNNNNNNNNNNNNNNNNNNNNNNNNNNNNNNNNNNNNNNNNNNNNNNNNNNNNNNNNNNNNNNNNNNNNNNNNNNNNNNNNNNNNNNNNNNNNNNNNNNNNNNNNNNNNNNNNNNNNNNNNNGUGUCUCAAACCGGGACUAAAGAUCUAAUCUUUAGUCCCGAUUUGAGAUAUGAACCGGGACUUAAGGGCAUCACACCCUUUAGUCCCGGUUCGUGUCUCAAACCAGGACUAAAGGUCUCAUUUGAACCGGGACUAAUGCCUUUAGCCGCUCGAACCGGGACUAAUGCUCAGAUUAGUCCCGGUUCGUAAUGCAACCGGGACUAAUGUGUAUAUUGAGCUGUGACCAAAGCCCUGUUUUCUACUAGUGUAUGUAUAAUUUUAAAUAAAUAAUGUGAUUAAGUAGUUAUUAGGUGAUGAUGGUUUUACAGUUAUUUCAUCAUCUUAUUGUGGAGACAAACAUAGCUAUUGUUUCCAUUUUUGUGGGUACACAUAUCAAUGAAUUUGUUGGCAUUUUAAAAGAAUGCCUUCCAAUUUUGGAAAUUGUUAUCAAAGUUUAUCCCACAUUGGACAGACCACAAACAUAACUUUUGUUUAUAUAAAUAUAAAUGUGGUUGAACUCUAUGAUACAGAGAAUGUUAAGUUCUUCUGAGGAAAAAAAUAAUCUUUCUAUUGUCGGAGAUUACUGCUUUUUGAAUAAAAUGAACAUAAUAUCUCUUAUUAGAAUUCCAUUUAUAUAUAGUUUUUAUAUCCAUUCAUGCUAGUCAGCUUUUUCAUUUGCAUAGUAAGAUCUACUUCUUUGUUUUGCAUGUGGGCAGCCAAUUUUAUAACACCUUCCGAAUCUCUUAGUGUAGACGCAAAGAAUGGAUCGUCUUCGACUUGAGCCGUGCACAUUGUACAUCCAUCAUGGUUAGAUUUCUUACUUUGCAUGAUUAGAUCCACUUCUUGUUCUACCGAAUAGGCCAAUUCCAGAACGCCUUUCGAAGGUCCUAUUGUAGAUGGAGACAAUGGAUUUUCUUUGACCCGUCAUAUGAACCUAUACGUCCCACUUAAUGUGUUGCUUUAUAUCUCGUUGUAUCUAUAUAUCAUGCUCAACUUUUUAGAUUCCUAGUUUAAAUCCAGUUGUAGCUCUGCUCGGCAUCGGCUAAUUCUGAAUGCCUUCGGAAGUUCCUACUGCGGACAUAGAUGGUGCUCCUCUUCGACUUGAAUUUUGUGAUGUACUUAGGUUAGUGAACUCAUUUAUAUACUGUAAUAUUAGUUAUUUUAUUUCUAUUUUAUAUUUAUUGUAGAGGAGCAAUUUAAUAUUGUUAUGAUUUACUAUAAUUUUUCUUUGUAGCAGUCAAAACGUGCAAACUAAGGUCGCAACAUUUUGUGUGUAGUGUAAUAGAUGUUAUUUUUGCCUGGAGAGGUUAUGUGCAUUUGUAAAAUAUCGUUACAAAAAUUGAAGUAACAUUGUAAUUUUCGUUUUUACCUUUUCAGUGUUUUUUGCAGGGAUUCAUUUUGAGUAGUUAACAUAUAUCAAGACUCAUAUAUAAUAUUUCUCAUUUUUAACAUAAAAAUUUGCUUUGAUAAUAAUAUUUUUUUCUAGAAAGUCAGCCGUGGGUACAGAGAUCUGCGCAUAUUUAUUAAAUCAAAGCGUACACCAUUGCUUCACGAUGCUUUUUGAAGUGUUGUAUGUUGACUUUUUAAAUAGACCGAGUAGAGUUUGGAUUCCAAACUGUACACAGCUGCUGAACGUUGAUUAUUUUUCUACAGAGCUUCACGUACGUUGAUUAUUCUUACUGGAGAAAUAGGGGGAGACCGGGGUAUAAUAAAUUUAGUAUUGUACUAUAUCUUUUGGAGCAUCACGUAAGGCUUUUGGAAGGUAGAGGUUGAGCAGCUGAUCUAUUCACGUACGGCUGUGUAUUUUUCCAGANNNNNNNNNNAUAUAAUGUCGCGCUAUUCGUCACUCAGGGUGAAGAAUUCUUAUUUCUCACCCCAGUCCAAUCUCACCGGCAAGACUUGAAAGCGUAAGAAAGAAAAUAUUUGAAAUAAGAUUACAGUGGGGAGAAAAGAGACCGGUCUCUUAUCGCACAAAGAGAGACACGUAAUCUUACGGAAUGCAUGCUUGUAAGGGGCCGUUCGGAAACUCUCCACUCCUAACUCCACUGCAGGAGCGGAGCGGCAUCUUGUGUAAUUUGGGCGAGCAGCCAAAUGGGCGAUCCGCCCGCUCCGCUCCCUGGCGAAGGAGCGGAGUAUUACCGAACAUGGCCGUUACGUCAUGUCCAUGAAACGUGCACCAAAAUCAUGCUAUAAAAACGAAAGAUAGUGCUGUAAUCUUACGGCAAUGAAUGGGGAGGUGUUCAUAAUUUUCUUUGUAUGAUAAGAAGCCUGCAUUCCUAUAUUGUAUUUUCUCUUAAGUAAUUUUAUGACCCGUAUAAAAUAGCAUACAUGAGGCAUUUGGACGUCCAUGGCACGAGAAAAAUCUGUACAGGAGGCAUUUGGACAACCAUGACGUAAGAAAAAUCUGUAGCCAACGUACACAUUAUUGGAACCUCUCUAAAAGGUGAUAAUCAGGCCCAACCUGGUGGCCUUUAAAUCAUACUGCAUGGAAUAACGACAUGGCCCAGGAAUAACAAAGCCAAAUAAAUAUAUUACAUGUAGAAAAAGAACUGAUGAUUCCACAAAAUAUCUCACGUAAUAAAAAUCAUCCAUACGAGUACAAAUGAAAUUCCUUUGGAGAAACUAAAUGCCACUUGGCACUCGGUAACCAGCAGCAGGAAAAAUCACAAAUCAUUACUACAGAACUGAAUACUACUGGGCUAAUUACAUCAAGAUGCAAAGAGAUUUGGAGGCGCAACUUCAGUGNNNN
RNAcentral lists this long non-coding RNA (47459 nucleotides) under Triticum aestivum (bread wheat). RNAcentral describes it as "long non-coding RNA (TAES_LNC014020)". Lineage: Eukaryota; Viridiplantae; Streptophyta; Magnoliopsida; Poales; Poaceae. The record is from RNAcentral.